Molecule: long non-coding RNA, 55681 nt
Filed under: Vitis vinifera (wine grape)
Lineage: Eukaryota; Viridiplantae; Streptophyta; Magnoliopsida; Vitales; Vitaceae
Description: long non-coding RNA (VVIN_LNC005147)
Source: RNAcentral
UUCAGUCUAGGGUUAUAGUAUGUUGAAUUUUUUUUCAUUUUGGUUGGUGAAGAAAUUGGGGAUCUUUAUUUGGUUCUCUUCAAAGCAUAGGAAAGAAAGAGAAAACAAAAUUAUUUCGAAUAUUUCAAUGAUUUUUAAGGAGUUUUGGGGCUGAAAAUGUGGUUUUUAAUGGCUCGAAAAUUUCUGCAGUUUAGUUGUUAAUUUGGAGACACAUUUUUUGUUUUGAUGUGGGCAUGUUGUAAUCGAAUGUUGUGAGCUUACAGGGGUUUGUGUUGAUUUGCAGAUCUGUCUUGUCUCUAUUUUGUUUGGCAUGAAGUUAAAUCUUCGAUUGGGGUACUUUCUGUUGUGGAGAGAGAAGACUAGCUGUAGGUAAGUAAAAGGCUACUCUGUUUGUGCAGUUCCCUAGUGGACUAUAAGCACUCCUCCACCGAGCUAUUUUUGCUGCAAGGACAUAAUCACUUUCUCACCAAAUUGUGAUUGCAGGCUUCGAGCCAUUGCGCACAGAAGUAUAGUGUAGGAAUCAAAUGAUUCGAGGUUAGAUUAUUGUGAAGAUAUGUGGAUAUUAUUCUUUUCCCUCUUCACUUUGCCAUGGAAUUUAGACCAUUGAUUUGUGUUGAGAAAAUAAAAGAAUCUUUGAUGUCAAAAAACAUGUUAUGAUCUAUUUUAAUUUAUGCUUUUGGAUUCGAAAUGUUUUAAUGUCUACAAUGCUUUGAUUUUAUAUUAUAAGGUUAUUUAGUUCAAUUCUCUCUCAUGAGUUGUAUUUCAAGAAAAAUAAUAGUUUCACAUAUGUUUCCAUUUGCUUGUCCAAUGGUAAACUUUUGUCAUCAUCAAAUAAUUCACAAGUCGUUUUUUGAAUUUGUUUGGAUGUUUGGUUUGGGACAUUCUGAUACAUGGAUUUGCAGUUAAAAUUUUAUUUUUGGUGGUUAAUUCUCUCUCUUUGUUCUUUGCUUUCUUGACUAGAUGAUGACUUUGGACCUGAAAAUUCUACAUUAUAGAAUGUGGGUAAGUGCUAAGUUUUUUAGCUGUCAAAAGACACAUGCAAAGAAAGAAAUUCUGGCUUUGUUAAGAUUUUUCUAAGAAGUUGCAAAAGGUUGUUUUGUUGCAUAGUGUUGAUACGGACAUUUCAAAUUACUUGAGUUUCGGUUGCCAAUGUGCAGAUGAAGAUAAUAAACUUUGUGGUAUUUUCCAACUUAUAGAAAAAUAAGUAGGGAGGAUGUCUUCUGGCUUGAUCACAUACCUUCGGAUUUCGUUGAAGGUUUUUUUUCUGCCUUAACAUAUCUAUAUAUUCUGUUAAAAAAAGUUAAAUUUAAAAUUUAAAAACUAAAAAAAUUGUAUAAAAUAUUAUUAUUAUAUAUAUUGUUCAGUAUAUAAAAAAUGUUUUUAUAUAUUAUAUAACAUAAUACAACAUAUUUCAAAGAAUAUUAUGUUCAUUAAAUAUAAUAUUUUAUUAAAAAUAAUAUUAUAAAAUAUACAUAUCUUAUCCUAUCAACCAAAUAUAAUAUUUGGGUUUGACAACAUAUGAUUUAUAAGUCAUGGGAUUAUGAGUAUGAUGACAUUGUGGAGGGUUAAACUUUUUUAUUACUUAUUUCUAAAUUCUCUUAACAGGUAAUGUUUCUUAAAAUUUGUCUUUUGAAAGGCUUGUAAUCCCUUUUGACUGAUGUAAUGGUAAAUAAUCAAUUCUCCCACCAACAAGAUAAGAAAUUCAAAAUAUUGAAUAUAAUUCAUAAUGCAUUGUAGGGAGAUCAUAUCUCUAUGGAUUCAACCAUUGAUAAGCCUACCUGUUUAGAUUAUUGUCCCUAGCUAUUAGUUUGUAACUCAUCUUUUGUUUUACUUAUUUUCAAUUUUUUAAGGUUUAGAUAGAAUUUCUUUUUUUUUAAAAAAAAAAAAAAAAUCUUUUGAACCAUAACUUGAUUCUCAUUCUUAUUUUUAACCAUUUUUUCAAUGAGAAAUUAGGUCUUCUUGGUGGAAUUGUAGGAAGUGGAUUGAAUCGGGAAAUUUAUUUGGGCCAGAUUGUGUUUCACUUGAGUCUUGAGAGAUGCAGCUAAGUUGACCUAUAAAUAAAAAAGUGGGCAUGUAAACGGGCCAUGCUGGCCCGGGCCAUUCUGGCCCGGGCCAUUCUUAGCUUGGCCUAGUGGGCCUUCGGAAUUGCUCCAACAUGAAUUUCAACAUCAAUUUCAGUUUUUUAAAUUAAUAAUUAUACAUUUGUUUUAACUAUUUAUGACAAACAUUAUCUUUCAAAAAGUAAAUUUCAAUUCAUUUUUAAUAUUUAAAUAAAAAUUAUUACUAUUUUAAUUAUUUGUAUCCAAAUCAUACCCUAUAUAUUUUGAUUUAUCUUACAAUGUUUCAACAUAAUAGGAAAGUGCAAAUAAAAAUACCCCAUUACAAGUACCUUCCAAAAUUUAUUUAAAAUUCAUAGAUUUUUUUUAAAACUUUAAAUAUCAAUAAAAUCGUUGAUUCAUAAUAAUUUCACUUAAAAUUCAUAUAUAUAUAUAUAUGAGGGAAAAAAUUAAAAUCCCUACCCUUCCUAUUUAAUUUUAAGAUUUUUUUUCAACUUCAAAUACAAAUUACAUUGUUUAUUCAAAAUAAUUUCAAUUUUAAUUGUUGGAAAUUAAGAGGUUAUGAUUAUGAAGAAUUGUUGUUCUUAAUUUCCAUUUAUUAUAAGUGUAAUUAAUAUAAAUAAACACUAUUAUUGCUAUUUGAAGUAUAAAAAAAAUUCUUCAAAUUAAAGCAAAUCAAAAAUUUGAAAGGUACGAAGAAUAUGAUGAAUAAUAGUGUUUAUUCCAUAUAUUGUUCAUAUCCUCUCUAAUUUUAUAGUUUUGUUACUUUUAAAUUAUUUUGUUCAUAAUUUUCAUCAAUAUAAAUGUAAUUAGUAUGAAUAAACAUUGUCUUGUUAUUUGCAAUGGAGAAAAAAAUUAUUAAAAUUUUAAAAAAAAAUGCAAAUUUGGAGAUUACGAAAAAUGUGAGAAUUCGUAGUAUUCUUUAAACCUUUUCCAAUUUUGAAGUUUUUACUUUUUACUUUUUAUUUUUCAUCAUUUUCAUUAAUUUUAUUGUUAUUAGUAUAAAUAAACAUUAUUAUUAUUAUUAUUUGAAGUAGAGAAAAAAUUUUAAAAUUAAAACAAAUGUAAAUUUGAAAGUUAUGGGUUUUUACUUUUACUUUUAUUUUAUUUUUCAUAAUUUUCAGGAUAUUAAAUAUCUUAUUAUUAUAAUAAUGUGUUGUUAAUAAUAGAACAUUUUUGUACUCUCUCAUUAUAUAAUGUUAACACUUAUUACCAUGUAUCUUUAAUAAUAGAUUCAUAUUGAUGUAGAAUAUAAUAUAUAAAAGUUUUAUUCAAAUCCAACUUUUUUUUAUUUAUAUAAUAUUAAUAUUUAUUUAAUACAAUUUUAUAUUAAAUAAGUACUAUGUAAUCAAUUAAAAAUAAAACCUUUGGGGAAAAUCAAUGAUAUGUGUAAACAUAAAUUUAUAAUAAAAAUAUAUAAAUAUAAAUUUAUUUAUUCUCGAUAAUACAUGGAUAUAAAUUCAUUAUUAAUUUAUUAAUAUGGAAAGUUAUUGUAAACUCCUUUAUUUAAAAUUUUCUCUAUUAUAUUUUUUAUAAAAUAUUUAAAAAAUUAUAUUAUAUUACACAUAUUGUUUUUAACUAGUAAUAAUAAAAAAGGCAGUAGCAUUGGUCUCAUUUCAUCGCUAUUGAGGGUUCAGAGACAAGCAUUAUUCAAAGUCCCCGGUCACUGACUCGGAGGGUCCCAAGGUAUAUCGAUCUCGGUGUAUCGAUUUGAUAUCAAGCUAUACGUAAAAUAAAAUAAUUAAAAUUUUUAAAAAAUUAUAAAAAUGUUAUGUAAAUUAUAUAAAAAAUAGAUAUAAUUAAAUAAGCUUCAAAAAUUAAUAAAACAAAAUGUGUUCACAUUUAACUCAAAGCUAUUUAUAAUAAUACUAAGAAUUGGGGAUUUAAUUCUCAAUCUGCCAUACAUAUACAUUUAAUUUUUCAUUAAAUCCCAUCACAUACCAUCCAUAUCAUUUUGGGACUCAAUCAUUUAAUUUAAUUUAAUCUGUUUCCAUCAAAUCCUAUCUCAUACCAUCAAUGUAAAUCCAUAGGAAAUACGUUUUCACUUUACCAAUUGGGCUCCCCAUCUCCCACCCUCGCACACAACCGUUGCUGUCAAGACCGCCAGCAGAUGACAUCACCUGCAAUUGCAAAUUUGCAACUAUGCAAGACCUAAAACUAGAGGGGGAGCAAUCUGACUAUGAGGGGUUGCUUGGCCGACGUCGCUGUUGUAAGAUUCAGUUCACUUGGCGAGUUACCACUGCCGACACUAAAGUUUCACCCUCAGGUAAUGCUCAAUUUUAAGGAAAAUAAGGUAAGUAAAUCCUAAAUCAUGCCCUCAUCCUUCGGUGGUUUCUCCUCUUAUUUCCGAACGGGUCAGGGGUUGGGUUUUUUCUUCUUCGUCUUCUUCGAUCUUUUGGGUUAAAAGCUCCAAUUUCAAAAUCAUAGGUGUUUGCUUUUGAAAGGGUAAUCUCUGAUUUUUAUUUUUGAAAAUGUUCUAAUACUUUAUUGUGAUUGGAAAGAAAAAGAGAAAGUUUGAAAUUUUUUUUGUAAUCUAACCAGUCGACCGAGUUAAUCGGAAACUCAGACGAGUCAACCAAGUCUUAUCGAUUCCAUGCCGAGUGUGUGCAUUAUAUCGUAUCAGGUGUCGGUCUCGUCACGGCAGGUGUCGAGCGGAUACGACUCGGUCGAGUUGUACUGGACUCGACCAAUACUUUGAACCCACACGAGCCGCGUUGAAGGAGACUCAAGAGAGUGGUCAACGCCUUGUCCCACUUCCAAUCUCAAUCUUUGUCCCCAUAUCUCGCCAGCGGCAAUCUCUCAUAUUCUCUUGUCAAUCAAUCUCAUUUUUACCUGGGAUUUUUCGAAAUUGCAUUGGAACAUGUUGAGCUUUUUUUCUUUGACUGCGGAAGAAAUUAGGGAUCUUUGUUUGGUUGCCUUCAAAGUUUAGGAAAGAAAGACAAAAUAUACGCUAGAUCGUUGUUUGGUUUUCAAAAUUCUUCUGUUUACUGAUCUUCUGUCUUUUUUGUUUAAUGAAUUUAUAUAUGCUAGAUUAGUAGAAAUUAAAAGGGAGAAUUGUGUUUUGGGCCCAACUAGGCCCAAAAAUUAACAUUUGGUCUAUAUAUCAUGCAUAUUUAAGCCCAAGACUCAAACAAAGUAUGUCUUUCAUUAAUCCCUAAAAUACUCUUAACCCUUACAUAGGCACAACUGAGUGUGAAUUUCAAUUUUUUUAUGUUUUUUUUCCCUUUUCUAUUCCCUAUUAAGUAUUACUCAUUUCUAUAUUUUUUUUUCUUUCAAUCUAUAUUUCUAUUUUAUGUCAAAUAAAAAGCAAUAAUGUUUUUUUGUUUUUCAUUUUUAAAGAUAUUGAAUCUUUUUGCUCUUAUUAUAAGCAAUGAUAAAAAUUUUGGGAUUUUUCAUCCAAAUAUUUUUUAUCUUUUAGUUUAAUUUUCAUUUUUAUUUUAAAUUUAUAUUAGCCUUCAUUUAUAUUUUUCUCUUAUUUUUUUAUAUUUUCUACAUUAACCAUAUUUUAAAAAUUUUAAAAAUUGACUAUCACUUCACUUUAUAUAUAUCCUUUUAGCUUUUUAAUUUUUAAUGUUUUUAUUUUAAAUUUUUUAAAAAGAUAAAUUUAUUGAAAAAAAUAACUAAGAUAUGAAGUUCUAAUAUUAUAUUAAUAAUUUUUCUUAUCUAGAGAGACUAAUGCAAAGUAUUUUGAUUCACAACAAGAAAAUUGUCAAUACAAUUUUUUAGUUAAACUUUAGAAAUUAAAUUUCAAAUAAAAUAUAUUAUAUAAAAUUUUAUCUAAAAAUUAUUGAAAGUGGUAUUUAAUUUUUUUUAUUGACUUUCAAACUUAUCUAAUUUUUUACUUGAAAUGUAAUAGAACAUGUUUACAAAAAAAAUUAGUUUUUCAUUUUUUAAAUAAAUGAGUAUAAAUAUAUUAAAAGAAUUAAAGAUAAUCUUAGUAAAAAAUUUGAUAAAUAUGAUUAUACUUUUAAAUAUAGAUUCAUUUGGAUAAAAUUUCACAAAAAAAUAAAAAAAAUAGUGAAAAGAAAGAACAUUGCUAAAACUACAAAAACAAAAUAUGCAAUUACAAAAUUUUGAUGAUGAAAUUUAAAAAUAAAAUUCGAAACAAUUCUUGAGUGAAAGAAUUUGAGUGGGAAAAAAAAAUAUUUGAGUGGAAAAAAAUGGGAAAGUUUUUCAAAAUCACUUGAAAUCCUUAACAAAAAGUAGUCUUGUACACCCUUGUAUAAUUAGUAAAUUUGUCUUGUACAGUUAGUGUAAUACCCUUGUACAAUAACUCAAAUUUCAUACAUCAUCUCAUGAAUAUCUGACAAUAGGUCGGUUAACCAUGUUUGCAUUGGUUUGAUUUUAAAAAAGAAGAAAAAAUGUUGUAUAAUUUUGUUUUACUAUCACAAGUGAGGUACCUAUUCAAAUAAUCAUAUACAAGUUAGAUAAAGUGCAUGAAAUGAAUGUUUGCUUAACCAAUGUGUGUAAAGAAUGUCAUUUAUCCUCGUUUAGGGGAAAUAAACAAACAAGUUUUUCAGAAUCACUUGAAAUUCUUCACAAAUAAUAGUUUUGUACACCUUUGUACAGUUAGUAUACUUGUCAUGUACACUUAGUGUAAAUACCUCAUACAAUGACUCAAAUUCCAAAUACCCCCUACUCAAUGUGUAACCAUAGGUAGGUUAACUAUGUUUUCAUUGGUUUGUUUUAAAAAAUAGUGGAAGAUGGAAAAACAAAAUUUUCUCUCAAACAUCAUUAGUGGGAUAAGCAUUUGAAUUAUCAUGUGCGAGUUAAAUAAAAUGUAUAAGAUGAGUGUAUAAUAGAAGAAUGUAUACCUUAAGAGUAUGCAAUCCUUAGAUGACAAGACAAAAAAAAAGUUGUCCAAAAUUGAUUAAAAUCUUUCACAAAAGAUAGUCUUGUAUACCCCUUGUAUAGUUAGAACAUUUGUCUUGUACAAUUAAAACAUUUGCCUUGUCCAAUUGAACAUUUACCUUGUACAGUUAGUAUAACACCCUUAUACAAUGAUGCAAAUUUCAUCCAUAUGCAUACAUUAUGUGCCACAUAUGAUGUGUGAACUAUGUUUCCAAUAGUUUGAUUUUAAAAAAUGAUAUAAAACGUAAAAACAAAAUUUUUCUCUAAACAUCAUUAUUAAGGUAAGUAUUUGAAUUGUUAUAUGCAAGUUAAAUAAAGUACAUGAAAUAAAAGAAUUUGUGGUAGGAGAACGUAUAAUCCUUAGAUGACAAGAAAAAAAAAGUUGUUCAAAAUGUACAUUUUUGUACACCCCUUGUACAAUUAGUGUAAUAACCUUGUAUAAUGGUAUAAAUUUUAUAUAUAUGUAUAAAUUAUAUUCACAUGAGUGUGUAAACUAUGUUCCCAAUAGUUUGACAUUUAAAAUAAUUGAAACAAAUAAAAUGUUAUUUUAUUUUAUUUUCAAUGCAAAAUGUAAUUAAAAAUAAGAUAAAGAAAUUACUUAAAAACUAUUAUUUAAGCCAAGUUUAUUUAUUUAUUUCCUUUUAUUUUUGGAAAUAAAGAAAAAAGAAUAAAAAAUUUAUUUAACCAUAAGAAAUAUGAAAUUAAGAUCAGUUAGAAAAUACCAAAUUUAUUUAUUUAUUUCAUUUUAUUUUUGGAAUUAAAGAAAAAAAAUAAAAAAUUUAUUUAACCAUAAAAAAUAUUGAUAUAAGAUAUGUUAAAAAAUAGAAAUAACCCCAAAUUUAUUUACUUAUUUCAUUUUAUUUAUUUAAAUUAGAAAGUAAUUUAUUUUUAUAGAUUAAAAUGUGCACAAUUGAUUUAUUACUUUGUUAAUUAUGGAUAUAUUAAAAUUUUCUAUUAGACAAAAAAUAAAUAAAGAAAAUAAAAUUAAAAAGAGUAAUAAAUAUAUAUAAUUUAGUUAUUUAAUUAUUUUUCAUGUAAAAGAUAGAUAAUUGAUCAAUUUAUUUGUUUAAUUGUAAACAUACUAUAUUUUAUUUUAUUUUAUUAUUAAAAUAACUAAUGGAAAAAAAUAAAAAUGGAUAAUCAAUGAAUGAAAUUUAAUUCUUUUAUUAUUUUCAUAUAAAAAAUAGUACUAAACAAGGUUUUCAAUUUUUAUUUUUAAAAAUAAUUUUUAUUUUUUAAUUAAAUGUUUUUUCAAAAAGAAAAUAUAAAUCAUAUUACCAUUUUUUUAAAUAGUUUUUGAACAUAAUUUUUCUUUAUUUAUAAUUUAAAAUAGAAAAUAAUGCUGAUUUUUAAUUAUUUAUAAAAAAAAUUUAAAACAAUGAAAAAUCCAAAUUGUUAAAAUAGAAUUAUUAUGGUUGCAUGAAUAGUGGUGCAAUAAAGACAAAAAAAAAAAAUUAUGUAAAAGGUCAUUGGGUAUUUUAGUCCAUCACUAUUUUUUAUUCUUAAAAGGUAAUAUUUAAAAAUUUAAAGGAUAUAUUGGUCUUUUAACACAUCUUACAUCUUUUCCAUCAAUUAUGGAAGUUAUAUGAACCAAAUGUUAAUUUUUGGGUCCAUUUGGGCCCAAAACACAAUUCUCCCAAAUUAAAAUGGGCAUGACACAAGAUUUCCUCAAGGCUGUUAAUCGAUAUCUCUUGGAGUCUGGAGGAAUUUAAAGUGUCUAUGCAAGUAUUUCAUUAGCAAGUGUGUUAUAGAAGGUUGGUUUUUAUUUGUUUCACUCAAUUGUUGUACCUUCUGCACUUCAAUUUCUUGUAAGAAAGUGUAAUUGUAGUAUGAUCCAUCUCUUUUAUUAGGAUUUUUGUAAGUGUUUUUCAAUUUUGGUUGGAUCUUGGAGUGAGAGGUUAGCAUAUUUGGGUUAUGAGAAAAUGUGGGAAGGAAAGUAGAGAGUGAAGUGUCAUAUAUUGAAUUUUCUAUUGUUUGGGAACACAAAAUGCAACUUCUAAAUAUACCUUUUCCUUGGUUCUUUUUUGUGUAAGAAUGGGAAAGAUAAGCACUUGCUAUUAGUUUCUAGUUCCUUAUGUUAAGAGGAUAUUACCGAGAGGUAGUUGGGAGGCCUAGCUAAACAAUAUGCAGAAAAUAUAAUAUGUUUUAUUAGUUCAAUCACAAUUCUAUUAUAUAAAACCAUAUUUGCAAUGAAACAUGUCAUAACCAUGUGGGUAUUCCCGCGAAGAAUAAUCACCAACAAUGUAUAGGGAAAAAGAAAAAGGAAAAAAAAAAAACUCCCAUUAGUCUAAAUAAAACACUUGACACUUUCAAAAUUACAAGAACAACAUAUGUUUUUGCUUAAUCUUUUUUUGCUAAUAACCUCUGAUGGGCCAAACCUACUCUAAACUGGGGGUCGUUGUGCCUCUUGUCCUCCUUCCCUAUUGGUGGUGUUUUGAUUCUUGAUCUUGAACAUGUCAAAGUUAUAAAAUGGUUUAUCCCAAUAGCAUGCUAUUUUCACUAAGAACAUGGUCCAUAUGACAAGAAGAAACCAUCCAAAAUAUGGGAUCAAGAUCAGGAUCAACAAAGUUGCAGCUAUUGUUCCACUUAAGAACCGAACAUGACCCAAAAUAAGGAGAUAUCUUCCAUUAUCUUCAACUUUGACAAUUUCAUCAUGAUUAAGGAUUUCAUAAACCACAACCACCAUGAAAUAUAUAAAUGUUGCAAACAAGGAGAUUCGCAUAACUAUAUUGUGUUGUGAAAAUGGGGAAACAUUCUCAUAUUGGUAUUUUGCAAGGGCAGCUGAACCCAGAAUCGUAAGGAAAGAUAUGAAAGUUGAUGGAGAUCUGUCAUGAAAACAAUAAAUAAAUAAGUAGAAAAUUCGAUUAGAUUUGUGAAAAUAAGAUAUUAGUAGUACUAAUUAAAAAAACUAGAUAAAUAAGAUCAAAUGAAUCAUUUUAUCUAAUUUUAGAGAAUAUUAUUCAGUAUCAUUUAAAUCAAUUAUAAUUUUAAAAUAUUAAAAGUAUAUCUAAAAUAUGAAGAACAACACUUUGUGUUUUAGUAGAUAAAACAUGUAAUAUCCAACAUGUAUAUUUGAAAAACAAAUAAUUGAGAUAAAAAUUUAACCUAAAACUAGAGUUUGAAAAAUUAAGUGCUCACAAGUAGAAGAGCAUUGAGGGAAAAGAGUGAAAUGUCAACGGUGGUAUUAUUUUUAUUGAAACCGAUAUAUGAGAGAAUUUUAAUGGGUUAAGGCAUAUUUUCAAAUAAGUAUAUAUUAAAUGAAGGCACAAAUAUAGGUUAAAUUUAAUUAAUGAAUACUUGUGAUGAAAAUUAGUGAAACAUAAAAGUUGAAGGAAAUGAUUAUUGAAUUAAACAAAUGGGUUGAGUAAGGUAAGAGAAGAGUGAAAACAGAAUGGAGAUGAAUAGAGUAACAAAAUGGAAAAAGGGCAUGAGGCAAAAGCCCAGAAUCAUGUGUAUGGCAUGAUUGGGCAACCAUAAAAUAGAUGCUGUUGCUCGACAUACAUUUAAAAUCGAGCUUUAUCGAUUUUAAAUGUACCAUGGCAGAUAUUGUAGAUGCUGUUGCUCUUGUGAAUAUUGUAGAUGUGGUGUUGCUUAGGGGCCGGGGUGGUUGAAAGCGUUGAAUUUUGAAAUCGAGCUCGAUUUUAAAUGUAUGUCGAGCUUUAUCGAUUUUAAAUGUAUGUCUCCCGUCCAAAUCGAUAAAUUCGAUAUCGCUCCCGUCGGUUAGUUCCGGGGUUCCCGGGGCCAAAUUCUGGGUUGAAUAUUCAAAGGUGGUUGAAAGCUUGCUUGUUAAGAUGAGGAUCAAUCAUCUGAUUGGCUGUUGUACUUGCACUUUUUAAGGGUAUUAAAGUUCUAAUAAAUAUAUAUAAUAUUUUUAAUUUUAAAGCGAUGUGGGAUAAAUAAUUUUCAUUUCUUUUAAAGCCGUAGAUAACACAAUUUCAAAGACAAAAAAAAAAAACCUUAUAUAUCAAAAAAGAAAACUAACUCAAAAAUAAAAAAUAUAUAUUACAAUUUAAAAAUAUAUACAUUUGUUACAAAAGUUUUUAAAAAUAUUUUUCAUAUUUUUAAUUGUUGUUCAUAACAUUUUACAAAAAAUAACUAAAAACACCUAAAAUUUAUUCUAAAUAAAAUCUUGUUCUCAAAACAAUUUUUGUAAAAAACAAUUUUCUGUAAAAUGUUUAUCAAAUUUGUUUCGGGCUUAAAAAUCUAUUUUCCAUUUUAAAGAAUAAAAAACUCAAUAAUGGUUUUCUUAUAUAUAUAUAUAUCACAUGUAUCACAAAUUUAUUCUUUUCAUAUUUUUUAUAUUACCCGUUUUAUAAAAUAAAAAAAGUUUAGUUAAAAAAUUAAAUUUUAAAUUUUAAAACUAAAAAAUUUGUAUAAAAUUUAUUAUAAAAUAAUAUUAUUAUAUGUAUUAUUCAAUAUAUAAAAAAUAUUUGUAUAUACUAUAUAUCAUAAUAUAACAUAUCUCAAAGAAUAUUAUGUUCAUUAAAUAUAAUAUUUUAUUAAAAAUGAUAUUAUAAAAUAUACAUAUCUUAUCUCAUCAACGGAAUAUAACAUUUGGAUUUGACAACAUAUGAUUUGUGGACCAUGGGAUUAUGAGUAUGAUGGCAUUGUGGAAGGUUAAACAUUUUUAAUGUUACUUAUUUGUAAAUUAUCUUAAUAGGUUAUGUUUCUUAAAAUUUUUGUCUUUUGAAAGGCUCGUACAUGUCUCAUAAUCCCUCUUGGCUUAUGCCAUGGAAAAUAAUAACUCCCUCAUCAACAUGAUAAGAAAUUUAAUUAUUGAAUAUAAUUCAUAAUGCAUAGAGAGAUUACAAAUUUUAUGGAUUUAGCAAUUGAUAAGCUUACUUGUUUAGAUUAUUAUCCCUAUCUAGCUAUCCCACUUUUGGAUUUACUUUUGGUGGGCUUAGUUUGUAACUCAUAUUUUGUUUUACUUAUUUUCAAAUUUUUAAGGUUUUGAUAGAUUUUUUUUUUAAAAAAAAAUUUGACCCAUAACUUGAUCCUGUUGUUAUUCUUAUUUUCAAUUAUUUUUUCAAUGAGAAUGUAAAUUAUGUAAUGACAAAUUGGGUCUUUUUUGGAAGAAUUAUAGGAAGUGGAUUGAGUUAGAAAAUUUAUUUGGGCCAAUUUGUGUUUCACUAGAGUCCUAUGAGAUGCAGCUAUGUAGGCCUAUAAUAAAAAAGUAGGCAUGUAAACGGACCGUGCUGGCCAGGCCAUUCUUAGCUUGGUCUAGUAGGCCUUCGGAAUUGCUCCAACGGCUACUCACUUUCCUUGGGUCAUAAGUUGUGCAUUUUUUUUUCCAUCUAAUUUGUAUUAUUUAUAGACUCAGUUUAAAUAUAUAUAUAUAUAUAUAUAUAUAUAUAUAUAUAUAUAUAUAUAUAUAUAUAUAUAUAUAUAUAUAUAUAUAUAUAUAUAUAUAUUUAAAAAAAAAAUUGUUGUUCGUAUAAUGUUUGUCUCUUACAAAAAUUGAAAUUACAAAAUAGGUGAAAUAUAAUUAAAUAAUAAAAAGAAAAAUAAGUGAAACCCAAUAGAUGAAACUUAGUAUGUGAUAAAUUUUGGAAAUGAUACAUUUACUUGAUAAUUAUUUGAAAAAAUAAUUAAAAUUGACUUAUGUUAUCAUAAUAACAAAUAAUAUAUUCAUUUGAAGUUUGAACCUAACAAUCAUAUUCUAAGUGAGUGUCUUAUUUAAUUUAGUCCAUCAUAAGAUGUUUUUAUCUUCGUUAAAAGUAUAUUAUUUGCAUUUGCUGAGAAGUAAAAAGUAUAUUCUAACUAAAAUAUUUAUGCAAGUUAAUUUUAUAACAUAUACAUUCUUCAAUCUCUUAUCAUUCCUAAGAACUUAAUAAUAAAUAUAACAAUUUAAUUCUAUCUUAUGCAUACAACUUGAAAACCAACAUUGCAAGUCUAAAAGUGGCAAACAAAUAUAACAAUCAUAGUACGUUUAGCAUCAUACUUUCUAUUCAUAUGGGGGAGAUAGACUCUAAGCUGGAAGCUCUUGUGACCCCUCUUCUGGGGGAUUAGGAGUCAUGAGUAUGAAUAUGUUCGAUAGUCGAUCACUUGCUUGGAAAAAAAGUUUCUAAUAUAGUUGUUGUAAGUAAUCCCUGAAGAGAAUUUAAAUAGCAUAGGAUCACAUGUUAACAUUUAAGCAUGCAUUUAAUAGCAAAAAUUCAUCCGGUUACUUUGGUUCAUGCCAUGAAAAGCCAUUUCUUCUCCCUCUGAUAUCCAAUAAGCUGCUUUCCCGUUGCGUGAUGGUCCGAGAAUGAGGGAUCAAUGAGCUCUUCCCUUGCCUCCCAAAAUUCAGUCCAAAGUGAAGUGUGUGUGUGUUUGCCGGGAGUGCUCUCCAAAGAGAAGAAAAGAGGAUGCUCUCCAAAAUGCACACACAUAUAUAUAUAUAUAUAUAUAUAUAUAUAUAUAUAUUACACAUUACACACUUUAGUUGGACGACUUGACUUAAUGAGCCAGUCAAGUGAAUUAGGGUGAGCCCAUAAAAAAUCAAACAACAAUAUGUGUCCAGUCCCAUUAUGGACCACAAUGCAAAAAAUAAAUUAAAACUGAUUUAUGAUAUUAUCAAAUUGAUUAUGUAAGUCCACACAUAAAAAUUCCAACAAUUCUUCCACUUGGACUACAUAAUCAAACAUUACAACAUAUACAUAAUCAUAAAUCAAUGUCCUAUAGAAUCUCAUAAAAAACAAAUAAUCAAAAGCAAUCAUAUAUGCUUCAUUGCUUGAUUCAUAGGGAAAUGUACAAUAAUAGCAAUCCUUCCAACAAUAACAUAGUAUUACAAUACCAAAAGUGGCUCCCACUAACUUAAUACAACCUAGGCUUCCAACAACCCCAUUUGAGAUAUAUGUUCCUGAAACGCAAUUAUGGGUAAGCCUUUUGUUAAUGGAUCCACCAACAUACUUUUAGUGGACAUGUGUUCAAUAUCAAUAAGAGACUCUGCCACUUUCUCCUUAACAAAAUAGAACUUUACAUCAAUAUGUUUGGAGUGAGAAAUACUCCUAGUGUUCUCGGAGAAAGCAACAGCUGCGGAAUUAUCACAAAAUAAUUUCAGCGGUCUAGAAAUGGAGUCAACAACUCCCAAAGCUGAAAUAAAAUUCUGCAUCCACAUAGCAUGACGACAAGCCUCAUAACAUGCCACAUACUCUGCCUCCAUAGUUGAGGAUGCUGUAAGUGUCUGCUUGACACUUUUCCAAGAUACAACUCCUCUUGCCAUCAUAAAAAUAUAGUCCGUAGUGGAUUUCUUAUCAUCUAUGCAACCAGAAAAAUCAGCAUCACAAAACCCACAUCAAGCAAGCUGGUACGCUGAUAUGUCAACAUUAAGUCCUUAGUUCCUUGCAAAUACCUAAGGACCUUCUUAGCUGCUUUCCAAUGUUGACUCCCAGGAUUGCUCAAGUACCUUCCCAACAUGCCCACAACAAAAGCAAUAUCAGGGCGUGUACAUACUUGAGCAUACAUAAGGCUACCCACCACAGAUGAAUAAGGAAUGAUCCUCAUUUCCUCUUUCUCAUCAUCAUUUUGAGGACACUGAGCCUUUGAAAACUUAUCACCCUUCACAAUUGGCUCUUUAGUAGAUUUACAGUUGUGCAUAUUGAACCUCUUCAAUAUCUUUUCAAUAUAGGCUCUUUGAGACAAUUUAAGCACUCCAUUAGCCCUAUCACGAAGAAUCUUUAUGCCCAAAACAUAAGAAGCCUCACCAAGAUCCUUCAUGUCAAAAUGGGUUGACAACAUGUGCUUUGUCUCAAUCAACAAGUCAGGAUCAUUUGAUGCGAGUAGUAUAUCAUCAACAUAUAAAACAAGAAAUAUGUAACUACUCCCACUGACCCUCAAAUAUAUGCAUUUGUCAACUGUAUUAUCUUUAAAGCCAUUUUGGGUGAUAAUCUUAUCAAACUUCAGAUACCACUACCUCGAAGCCUGUUUAAGACCAUAAAUGGACUUAUUGAGCUUGCAAACUAAAUCUUCCUUUCCAACUUCUGCAAAACCAGUAGGUUGCUCCAUAUACACCUCCUCAUCCAAAUUACCAUUCAAGAAAGCUAUCUUGACAUCCAUCUGAUGUAGCGCCAAAUCAAAAUGAGCUACUAUGGCCAUAAUCACUCUAAAAGAGUCUUUGGUCGACACAGGUGAGAAGGUUUCUUUGAAAUCAAUUCCUUCUCUUUGACUAUAACCUUUAACCACAAGUCUAGCUUUAUAUCUCUCUAUUUUCCCGCUAGAAUCACGUUUGGUCUUAAAGACCCACUUACACCCAACUGGUUUACAACCAUGUGGCAAUUCAACUAAGUCCUAAACACCAUUCAUAUACAUAGAAUUCAUUUCAUCAUCCAUGGCUUCUUUCCAAGAUAUGAAUUGAGGACAAUGAAUUGCUUCUUUGGUAAGUGACUGGAUCAAAAACAUCAUAACCAUCAUAUUCAUGCUCCUGCAAAUAAACCAUAUAAUCAUCUGAAAUAGCCAGCCUACGAACCCUCUGUGAUCUUCUCAAAGGAACCUCAUUAACAACAGUAUCAUCUACAGGAAGGCUCUGAUUCCACUUGAUCACCAUGCUCUCCUUGAUUAGUGGCUGGCUGUUGGACAAUAGGAACAUCCACAUUUGGAACAUGAGAUGUAGGAAAAGGAAUCACAACAUGUUCUUCUCCAAAAGGUAUCUCACGAGGCACAAAAUUUGGAUCAGCAUUAACUUCAUCCUCAAAAUAUACAGCCCUGUCUGACUCAAUGAUCCUGGUGGUAUGAGAUGGACAAUAAAAUCUGAAACCCCUUGAUCCAAUGUAAUAGCCAACAAAGAAACCACUAAUGGUUUUAGGAUCAAGUUUCUUUGACUGUGGGUUAUAGGGCUAACCUCAGCCUUACAUCCCCAAACAUGGAAAUGGUGAAGACUGGGUUUCUUUCCUGACCAUAGCUCAUAAGGUGUCUUAGGCACAGACUUACUGGGCACUUGAUUCAAAAUAUAUGCCACAGUCCUUAAGGCUUCACCCUACAGAAAUUCUGGUAAAGAGGAAUUGGUCAACAUGCACCUCACCAUAUCUAACAAUGUGUGAUUCCUCCUUUCUGCUACCCCAUUCUGUUGAGGAGUGUCUGACAUUGUAUAUCUCGCAUCAAUGCCACAUUCCAACAUAAACUUAGCAAAUGGUUCAGGAUUCCGUCCAGUCUCAUCAUAUCUCCCAUAAUACUCGCCACCUCUAUCAGACUUCACAACUUUAAUGGGCUUUCCCAACUGCAACUCCACCUUAGCCUUAAAGGCUUUAAACACAUUCAGGGAGUCAGAUUUCUCAUGGAUUAGUUCAACAUAACCAAAUCUAGAGAAAUCAUCAAUAAAAGUGAUGAAAUAUUUAUAACCCCCCAAAGCAAUUGGUGUUAAAGGACCACAUAUAUCUGUGUGGAUCAAGUCUAAAGUACUUCCACACAUAUCAAUCUUCUCCUUUCUGGUCUUUGCUGUUAUCUUCCCCUUUAAGCAAACAACACAAGUUUUGAAGUUUGAGAAGUCAAGAUUAGAAAGCACACCAUCUUUCACCAAUCUCUCUAAUCUUUGCCUAGAAAUAUGACCUAGGCGUUUGUGCCACAACAUGGAAGAACUCAAAUUCAUUCUAGCACGCUUGCAACCAACAACAGAAUUAAUAGAAGAUGAAUCACAUAAUAAACCAUGAUGCAAACUGAGACAAUAAAGAUUUCCAAACAAAACACCAUUGCCAAUUAAGACUGAGUUGCAAAAAAUAUCCACUUUUCCAUCUCCAAAGUGAAAAGAAUAACCAAGUCUAUCCAAAGAAGAUAUAGAAAUCAGAUUCUUCCGAAGUGAGGGUAUGAAAGCCACAUUGUGUAACAACAAAAAACUUUCUGUGAUCAACUUCAGCUUUAUCAUGCCAAAAAAUUCCACUUUCACUUUACUUCCGUCACCCAUAUACACACAUUCUUCAUGCUUUGAUGACUUCCUUCUGUUUGUCAUCUCCUGCAAAGAAUUAGUGACAUGAAUAGUGGCACCAGUAUCUAACCACCAAGAAAUGACAUGAACAUCAACAAUAUUUGUCUCAAUCAUGUUUGCAUUCAAAUUAACCACAACCACAAUUUUACAUUUCUUUUUCUUCUCUAGACAAUUUUUAAAUUUGAAGCAAUCAGCUUGCUUGUGGCCAAUCUUAUGGCAAAAGUUGCACUUCCCCUUGAAUUUCUCACUCUUUGCAGCAUUAGAAGAAGCAAAUGCAUUGGAGGUUCCUUGAUUUGAAUUCCCUUUCCUCUUGAACUGCUUAAAGCCUCCAAAAUUCUUGUGUGGAGGUUUUUUCUUUAUAGUACUGACUUGAUUAGUUACAAGAGCAAGGGAGUGAGUCUCAUUUUUCUUCAAUGAGACUUCAUGUUGCAUUACAAUGGACAUCAACUCCUUCAGAGUCCAUUCUUCCUUCAAGGCAUUGUAAGUCAACUUCAUUGCAUCAAAGGAAACAGGAAGAGACUCAAGUAUCAACCAUUUCAGAAAAUUUUCACCCAACUCCACUUUCAUCUUAUUUGCCUUGUUGAAGUAGUGCCUUAGCUUGAUGAUAUGAUCUCUAACCCCAUUGACUCCAUCAUAUACAGUAGUUGUGAGAAGCUUCAAAUGAGUUGUCAUUUCUGUCUUAUCAAUCUUGGUAUAAUUGGCCUUCACAUAUUCCAAGAAGUCUUUGGCCCUUUCCGUCUUUGGCACGCAUUGUUUGAUAUAUUUAUCCAUAGUGUAUUUCAUCACCAUCAAACAACUCCUGUUGGAGUGCUUCCAUCUUUCAUAAAAUAAUCUUUCAUCUGCAGAGCUCACAUCAGUGGGCUUAUUUGACUCAUCAACCCUCAAAGCCAAGUCCAGAUUUUGCAGUCGAAUGAGUUCAAUAGUCUUCAUCUCAAACUUUUUACCAAGAAUAAUUGUUCUAGCGUAGAUGGAAAUAACAACAAAAGAAGAUAUAAUUGCGUUAUGCUUCUCAAAUGGAGAACACCCAACAUUGUGAGGAAGAAUGCAUAAGCUUGAAAUGCAAUGGAGGAACUUAGUCCUUGCUCUUGCUCACUGCAAUACUAAGAAAAUGAAAUUAUUUUGAGUGUUUAAUUAACAAGUUAUUAAUGAAAUUUAGGAAUGAAACAAGAAAAUGCACAAAGCCUUCUCAAUAAUGAAGGCACAAAUACUGUUAUAAGUGUGACUCAUAAAUUUCUGCCACUUGUUAUCUGAAAUGGUUGGUUAGUUUCUUUUUCUGUUAUUUUCUCUUGUAACCUGAACUAUAUACAGGGAAAGAGAAAGAGAACAGAGAGGAGAGUUUUGAUUUUUUCAGAGAGUGCAUUUCUUGUGUGUAAUUCUGAGACAGCAUUUUUUUUAUUUUUGUGUAAAGAGAGAAAGUGUCAGGAAAAUCAUAUAGAAAACACAGAGCGAAAUGCAAUAAAUUUUUGGCUUGAUAAAGAGAAGCUUUCUUGAACAAGAUCUACCAAAGAAAAACUGAUCUGGAAGACCAGAAAUUGCAACAAGUGGUAUCAGAGCGGUUCAAGAAAUGAGAUCUGCGAAGUUCGAUAUUGAAAAGUUCUCUGGAAAAAGCGACUUCGGUCUCUGGAGAGUCAAGAUGAAAGCCCUUCUGGUUCAACAAGGUCUUCAAGAUGCUUUGAAAGGUGAAAAAGAUCAACCGAAAACCUUAUCAAAAAAGGAGAAAGAAUGACAUUCUUGAAAAGGCACAAGGUGCCAUUAUCCUGAGUCUUGGAGAUAAGGCCCUUAGAGUAGUGUCAAAAGAAACAUCUGCAGCUGCUAUAUGGUUGAAGUUGGAGAAGCUGUACAUGACGAAGUCACUGGCUAAUAGACUCUAUUUGAAACAGAGGCUUUACUCUUUUAGGAUGGCAGAGGGAAAAUCCAAUGAAGAUCAAAUGGAUGAGUUUAACUAGAUUAUUGAUGAUCUUGAAAAUGUAGAUGUCAAGAUGGAAGAGGAAGAUCAGGCAAUAAUACUUCUGAGUGCUCUACCAAAGUCAUACGGACAUUUUGUUGAUGCAAUGUUGUAUGGGAGACAUUGGAGGAGGUUCAGGCAGCACUAAACUCGAAAGAGUUGAAGAAGUUCGAAGUAAUAGAAGAGUCAAAUGGAGAAGGCCUUGCUAGUGGUGAAGCAUUCUUCAAUCAGGAUGAUCUUAGCCUUGGUUGCUGAUAGAAACAUGGAAUUGGAGCAGCUAGAUUUCAAAACAGCAUUCCUACAUCACCAACUGGAAGAGACAGUUUAUAUGCAACAACCUGAGGGGUUUGUGAAGGACAACUUUAUCUUUCUCAAAGGUCUUAUAUUAAGAAAGUGAUUGACAGAUUUGGGAUGAGAUGCUAAACCAGUUUCUACUCCCAUGGUGCAUCAUUUUAAGCUAACAUCAUCUGAGUCUCCAAGUACUGAUGAAGAGGAGAAGUUUAUGGCGAUUUGGCCUAUGCUGUGAGUUUGGUCAGUAGGUUCAUGGGAAACCCGGGGAAGACCCAUUGGAGGCUUUGAAAUGGAUACUAAGGUAUCUAAAGGGAACACAGACAACUUGUCUGAUAUAUAAAGCUGGAAGUAGAGGUGACAAUGCUAAAUGCAAGAAAAUAAGGUAAGGCAUACCUUGCUUCUCUCUCCAUGAAACAGAGUUCUGCUCUCUGCUCUCUGCCUUGGUUUAUUCAUUGGUAUUUCAUGUCAAAGAUUUCAAAGAGCUAGGAUACUGGUUAUGUCAAAGAUGUCAAAGAGCCAGCGUUUCAUGAUACUGCAUUCAUUGGUAUUGGUAGUAGGAUACUGAUACUGCCUUGGUUUAUUCAUUGGUAUGGUUAGUCCGCGUGCGAUAGCGUUUCAUGUCAAUUAGAGGAUAGCGACCUGGGUCCUGGACUUUCAGCGUGACCCUCCAAGUGUCCCUCCACUUCAUUGCCUCCGUGGAGACAUCCUUACACCCUCCAUUUCGUUACCUGUUUUCGAAAUCUUCGUAUCACUUUUCAUUCUCCAAUCCUUAAGGCUAUGUUUGGUUCCCGGAAAAUACUAAGGAAAAAAAAAAAAUGCAAAGGAAAAUGAUUUUUUCAUGUUUGGUUAUCUUAUGAAAAAUAUAAAAGAAAAUCAAAUAUAAUUAAAACUAAUUAAAAAUUUAUGUAUUUUAAAAUUAUUUAAUCUUUAUAUUAAUGAGUUAAAAUAAAUAAAAUGAGUUUGAAGUAAAAAAUAAAAAUAACUUAUCAACUUUUAAUCCAUUUUUUAUUUUUCUUCACUUUUUCUUUCCUUCUAUUUUUCCUUUGUAUUUUCUUUCCCUCGCAUUUUUCCUCAAAUUUUCUGGGAACCAAACAUAGCCAAAAAAUCAAAGUUUUAUUAAAUAUAUAUAAUAUUUUUAGUUUUGAAGCGAUGUGGGAUAAAUAAUUUUUAUUUCUUUUGAAUCACUAAUAUAACAGAAUAUCACAGACAAAAAACCAAAUAUAUAUAUAUAUAAAGCUCAUUCAAAGCAAAAAAAUAAAAUAAAAAAAUUCAUACUAAAAUUUUAAAACUUUUAUAUAAAGAAAUCUCUACACCACCAUAAAAUGUAUUUAUAAAAAAAAUGAAAAUAUCUACCACACUCUAACAAUGUAAACCAUUAACACGUAAUGCUAAUUUAUACAUUAUUUUUAUCAUUAAUAUUUUUUUAUUUUUCAAUUGCUCAAUAUAUCUCCUCUUAAUUGAUGCAAGUUGAGAUAUACUUCUCUUUUACUUUUAACGUCUUUAAUCGUGUAAUUUAAUUUUACUACUUGAAAAUAAUGAUACAUUCAUAAUAAGAUUUAUAUAAUAAAAAACUAAUAUAAACAAGAAAAGAUUUCAUAGUUUAAAAUGUUUUUGAUAAAUAUAAAUUUUUUAUUAAAUUUUAUUAUUAAGUUUUAAAGUUGGAAAAUAAGAUAUGAUUUUUUUAAUUCUAUUAUUUAACAGAAAACUCUCAAAAUAUAUAUUUUUUUAAAUAAAAAAAUUAUUUAAAAUUAUGUGUGAGAGUAUUGUUAUCUAUUUAUUUCUUUUUUCCAUUCUCGUUUUGAUUGUUACCAAACAUUGGUAUAGAAAUAAACAAUCAUUCUAAUCUAAGUAAUCUUACAUUUGUAAGUGUAUUGAAACACAAAAAUUAAAAUCAUUAAAUUCAUUCAUAUUCACAUAUAAAUAAGAAUUGGAAUAAAAUGUUCUUUAUGCCUCAUUUUCAUAUAUCAAAUGUGGCUUUAUAAUAUUGUAUCAUUGAACAUUUUCUUUUUAUUCACAAGAAAGUUGAAGUACAAAAUAAAAACAAAAUGUUAGAAUAUGCUAAAAGUAGUGGUUGAUAAACUAAAAAUUAAAUAUUAAAUUUUAGUGUUUAAUGAUAAAUAAAUAAAGUCUAAAAACUAUUUAUUUUUCAAAUUUUUUCUUUUAUUUAACCACCAUAAUUUUUAAUUGGACCGGGUUCCACGUACUAAAAGCAUAUAUUGGUGGAUGAAGUUAUUAACACUGACCUCACUUGUUCUUACUUCCUAGAAGGAUGAAGGGAAAUAAGAUUUAGAUAAUGUUUGUUUUUUAGUUUUUUGUUGAAAAUAAUUUGCUUUUAGAAUUUACGUUAUUUGUUUUUUUUAUUUGUUUUAUAACUUGUUAUAAAAUUUUUACUAAAUAGAAAAAACCAAAAUAUUUUCAUUUUUUCUAAAUAAAAAAGUAAUAUGUUGAUCUUUCUUUACUUUUUAAUAUUUAAUAGAAUAAAAUAUUAAAAAAACAAACAACCUAAUAUUAGAAUUACCGUUCUACAAUUUUGUGAUGGUUAAGAGAUAAAAAAACACAUAUUUCAAUGAGAUAAAAUAUAAGUCGAUAAAUAUUUCAUUCCCGGUUGAUAUAAGAUAAAUUCUUUUAAAUGAUGUAAACUACUUGGGAAUUUUAUAUAUGAAAAAAGAAAUUAAGAAGAAAAAUAUAACAACCAUUUAAUAUUAUAGUUCUCAAAUAGCUUUUUUAUAAUAGGUUUUUUUUUUUUUUUUUAAUUUCUCAAUUAUUUUUAUCAAAAAAAUUAUUUGAGAACUCAAAUAUGAAAAUAAAAUUUUCAACUUAUGCAUUUAUAUAUAUAUAUAUAAUACAAAUUUUUUUAGAGAAUUCGUCAUAUUUUUAAUUGUGGUAUAUAAUAUUUCAUAAAAAUAAUUUAAAACACCUCAAAUUUAUUUAUUUUUUAAAAAAUUUAAAAAUAUUUUCAAAAUGCUAUUUUCUAUAAAAAAAUUAUUAAAUUUGUUUUUAACUUUAAAAACUACUAUUUAUUUUAAAGAAUAAAUAAAACUCAAAAAUAAUUUUCAAAAUAGGCCAUAAUAUACUAUUUCAAUAUAAAACUUAAUAAUACAAUUAAUUAUUGGAACGUAAAAUCAUAUUUGGGACUAAACCCAAAAGGAAAAUGAUCCAAUUAAUAAACUUUAAAAUGAAAUGAAUGGAUUUCAAUUAACCAAAAAAUUGGUAUAAAAAAAAAAAAAUUUGAGGCGAAAGAAAUUCUUUCCCUAGGAAGGGUGUAGACCCCCUCCCGGGCUAGAGCAAUUUUGCAUUUUUUUUUAUAGGACAGGGAAGACGGCUGAAAGGAUAGAAAAGAAAAGGGUGACAGCGGGGGGGGGAAGUUUUGAGCAGAGAAAAAGGAAAAAAAGGAGAGAUCUGGGAGGAGAGUUUUGCUCUCUUCUGGGCAUUUCUCUUGAAAACAAAAGGGGAGACCAGCUGCAGAGGGCAGAGGAGAGGGAUGGCCAUAAUUUCAGAGGGGCCAUGCCUGCUGAUGAGGCCACAGGAGAAUGGGUGAGAGAGAGAGGAGGGUUUUGAGGUCAGGAGCAAGCUGAGAAAAGGAGGAGGAACCUAGAUCAAGGGGGGACCCGAGGUACGUUCUCUGUUAAUCCCGUAUUUCCAUAUUCUUGGAUGAUUUUUGGCUUGGUUACUCUGUUUUCUUGAUUGGUUUUUGAAAGAAAAACUGGUGAGGUUCACUUCAUCACGUCCAUUACGAGGUGUCUAAGAUCAUUGUUCGCACUUUUGCUUGGGAUAGACUCGAGUUUUUCUUUCCACCUAUAUUCAGCUUAGUGGUUUCCGUGAAAGGAGGCUUGAUUUAGCAAUAUGAUCUUUCUCUUUUCAUGCAUGGCUGUCAUCCUCGCGCACCCUCCUCCACCUUUCUCUUUACGCCACGCCAUGCACCUCAAGCCUUCUCGUUUUAGCAUGGCCAUGCAUGGCCACCUCUUGCCCGUACCCCAACCACCUUCUUCUAUUCUCCAGCAUUUAGAGACGACUAUGGCGGCGAUCGAGGCUCUGAACGACAAGAGCGGCUCCAGCAAGUCCUCUAUCUCCAAGCACAUCGAGUUGGCGCAUGGAGGUCUGCCGGCGGCUCACUCCACCCUGCUGGCGCACCACCUCAACAGGAUGAAGCAGAAUGGCGACCCCGUUAUGGUCAGGAACCACUGCAUGAAGCCUGACCCUAACGCGCCGCCACGGAAGGGUCGCGGCCGUCCUCCCGAGCCCGAGGUUCCUUUUCCUCCAGGAACCGUUCUCACGCCGCCGAGGCCUAGUUGCCAUCCGCUGAAGCCCAGAAACCCAUAUGCUCUGGUCUCUCCGCCGAAGAAGGUUUCCUCCGGAAGUGGAAAGCCACGCGGACGCCCUCCAUAGAAGCCCAAGGUGGGAACUUCGUCGGCUUUAGCGCCGGCGACCGGAGCAGCGAGACCUAGGGGAUGGCCGCCAAAGGCGAAGCCGGCGGUGGUUCCUGUUGGGUGUCGUUUCGAAUAGAGAUGUUGAGUGCUGUAGGAAUGGGUGUCUUUGGGUUUGAAUUAAGGCAUUAAGCCCAGCCGUGGUGGUAAUGGGUCUUGGGUUCACUCUUGGUGACGGGUUUGGGCUUGAGUUGGAGCCCAACCCAAGCAUAUUGAUGAAAGGCCCCAUGCCCCCUAUGCUAGCCACCCUCGUGGCCCAAGUCCAUGUUAAGCUAGCCCACUUGGUUACCUCAAUUUAAAAUGAAACCUCUAUACCUCUAAUCCUUCAAAAAUCCUAUAGCUUAAUUUAAUUUUUCGAUAAUUAAUUCAAAUCUCAUUUUCAUCCAUUAGAAUUUUUUUAUCCCACAUUAUCUAGCUAUUUAAAGUCUAACCCUUUCAAAAAUUCCAUAUCUUAAUUUAAUUUUUCAUUAAUUGGUUUAAGUCUUAUUUUCAUCAAUUGGAUCAUAUAUUCAUCUAGAUAUUUAAAGUCCAACAAUCAUUCAAAGAUCUCAUGUACUAAUUUAAAUUUUCAAUCCUAGAAAUUCCGCUAUUCGUCUAAAUUUUAUUUUUGUUAAUUAGAAUUUUCAUUCCAUAUCUAUUUACUUAUAUAAGGUCCAAUUCUCCAAAAAUCCAAUUUCUGAAUUAAAUCCCAAAAAUUCCACUAUUCAUCUUUAUUCGCCUAAAUAUUAUUCGUAUUCAUUAGUAUUAUAAUCUCAUACCUGACAAUUUAUUCAAAGUCUAAUCCUUAAAAAAAUCCAACGUCCUAAUUUAAUUUUCAAUUAGAAAAAUUCCACUAUUCAUUCUUUUUAUUAGUUUAAACAUCAUUUUUGUUAAUUAGCAUCAUUAUUCCAUAUUUAUUUGUUUAUUUCAAUCGUUAAAGUUCAAUUCUUCAAAAUCAGAUUUCCAAAUUUAACCCUUAGACUAAAAAAUUCCACUAUUUACUUUUAUUCAUUUAAAAAUAUCAUUUUUUUGUUAUCAUUAUUAUAAAUCUCACGUUUACUUAUUUCUUUCUUCUAAAAAUUCUAAUAAUCAAAAUUCAAUUAUUCAAAGAUCCGACUUUCGAACUUAAUUUUCAAAAUCCCACUACUCACUUUCACCCGUUCAAACAUCAUUUUUGUCGGAACCCGAGUUUCAAAUUAAUCUUCCAUCACACAAAUCUCACUAUUCAAUUUCAUUGUUUAAAUAUUAUGUUUGUUAAUUAUCAUUAUUGUUUCUCAUGUAUUUAUUUAUCCUCUUUUAAAAAUCUCAUUCCUUAAAGCCCAAUUCUUCAAGAAUCCAAUGUCCUAAUUAAAUUUUCAAUCCCCAAAAUCCUACUAUUCAUCUUUAUUCGCCUAAAUAUUAUUCUCGUUAACUAGUAUUAUUAUCUCAUGGUCAUCUAUUUAUUUUUACAAUUAAAGUCCAAUUCUUCAAAAACCCAACAUCUAAAUUUAAUUUCCAAUAUCAAAAACUCCACUGUUCACAUUCAACUGUUUAGUAAUUAUUUUCGUUAUUAAUGUCAUCACGUCCAUUUAUUUGUUCACUAACUAGUAUUAUUAUCUCAUGGUCAUCUAUUUAUUUCUACAAUUAAAGUCCAAUUCUUCAAAAACCCAACGUCCAAAUUUAAUUUCCAAUAUCAAAAGCUCCACUGUUCACAUUCAACUGUUUAGUAAUUAUUUUCGUUAUCAAUGUCAUCACGUCCAUUUAUUUGUUCACUUGUUCAUAUAUUAAAGAUCUCAUCUUUAAAUAAUUUCUUAAAUUUUUAAUCUAUAAGUUUAAUCUCUAACCUCUAAAAAUUCUAUCUCUCGUAAUUAUUUACCUAGUCUUUAUUAUUUCACCAUCAUCACUAUCCCAUUUAUUUACUUAUUCGCUCAGCCGCUUAUCCACUCAUUUUAAAUACCGAACUCUCAAAUCAUUUUUCAAAUUCCCCACCUCGUUCAAAUUCAAUUUCUAAAAUUCUCGUUCUCACAUUUAGUUUCUAAAAGUCUGAUCUCCAAAUAAACUCUAAAAUUCCAAAUUUUAAAUAACCUUCGAGAUUCCAUUUUUUUCAAAUAAAUUUCGAAAAUCCAAUUUUCUCUCAAAUAGUUUUAAUUCUGUUUUGGUUUUCAAACAAUCUUCUGCUCCUCUUAAUUAAAAUAAGCAAGACUUUAAUUUUGUAAUUCCAAUUAAUGGAAUUUAUGAAAUUAAUUCAUGCUAAAAUAGAUCGGGCUUUGGUGGGGGCCCCACACACAUGAUUUUAUGAUCGAUUGAUUGACUUGAUUAUCAUACAUGAUUGAUUUAUUAUGCUCUAUGACAUGCUCGAAAUUAUCUCUUAAUUGUACACUAACCUCUCUCUCGAUAGUGCAUGGUGGCUCGUUGCCCAGGUACGCACCUACUUUCACUCUGGUCAUUUUCGGUAUGCAUGUUUAGAUUCUCAUGUGUGCAUGAUCACUCUGAUUAUUCAUUGAUUUCCUCAUCAAUUGCCAUGAUUGCUUCAUUUUAUUAGUAGAGACCCGACUUUAGGGACUUAAAGGGGUGCUACGGUCUGUACCGUACCUUCCCGAUAGGUAACCUGACCCCCGAACCUGAUCCAGUUUUUCGCAGGCCGUCUUUUCCAAAAUAAGGAAUCACACUUAGGGUUUUUCUUUCUUAUUUUUUUUACCCUUUUAAAAAUAAAACAAAAAUAAGUGGCGACUCCAAGUCAUUUGUCUUAAUCAAUAAAAUUAAUUUUCCAAAAUAAAAAGCAAGUUUCGCCAUUGAGUGGGAAACACAUUGAGCCGAAAUGCGGGGUCCACAAAGGGACAAAAAAAAGAAAUUUUUUUCCUUAUUUUAAUCACAUGGUAAAUCAUGACAUUUGUUGUUUGUUUUUAUUUAAUUAAUUUAGUUUUUUUUAUUUAAUAAAAAAAUUAUAAUAAGUUAUGUAAAAAUAGAAAAGCAAAUCAUGUAAAAUUUGAAAAUAAAUUACUUCUGACAAAAAAUAAAAUAAGAACCCAUCAUUUAUUUAAAAUUAUAAAAAUAAUAAAUUAAUUUAACAAAAAUAAAGGGGAUAUAAGUGUUGUGAACUUCUUACUUGGCUUAAAAAUUAAAAGAAUAUAUUAAUUACAUUUUUUUCUUUAAAUUCCUUUAUUAUUCAGCCAUCAAUUAUAAAAUUAAAAUAAACCUAAUUGAGAAGAAAAUUCCAAAAUUUUCUCAAGAAGAAGAAUGAUUCAUCGGAGCAAAAUUCUUUUUUUUUUUUCUCUCUCCCUUCAUUCCAUGCAAAUCACGUUAAAUUGAGAAAAAAAAAAUUAAAAUAUGAUUUUUUAAUUAGGUGUUUUUAUGAAUUUCUUUUAACUUUUUUUAGUAUAUAUUAAGCACGCAGAUUCCAAAUCAAGUAACUAUUAAUGCAAAAAGAAAAAUAUUAAUUUCUAAAAAUAAUUUGAAACUAAAAAAUGAUUCAAUUAAUAUUAGAAAGUUAUGGAACUCAAAAUCAAUCAAAUUAACACUAGAAAGUCACAAACCCAAGUUCAUUUUGAAUGACUUUCCUAAUUUUUUCUACAUACAAUCAUAAUUUUAUGAAUUUUUUCACUAAGUAAAUAAACUUCAAAUUAAACAGAAAUUAAUGCAUUGAAUUUGUUACAAAGUCUAGUAAUUUUAAUAAAUAAUUUUAAAACUCAAAUAAUGAUCUAAUAAAUAUCAUAAAUUUCUAAACAAAAAUUGAUUUGACUCUAUUAUUUUUCUUGAGAACCAUAUUUUUUUUUUCCAAUUUUUCACCCAGAGAAAAUUAAUAUAUUGCUAAUAUUUUGUUGAAAAAUCAGCGAUAGGGAAUUUGGAAUUUUGAUUUAACUAAUAUUAUUUUUUAAAUUAUUUAUAAAAAUGACAUUUUAAAAUCUUUUUUUUGAAAAAGGAUAUAUAUUGCCUUUGAUAUUUUAUUCUUUUCUUAUUUCAGGUAAAAACAUCUUUUCAAAAUGAGAUUUUAGUAUGAGCAUAACUUAUAAGUUUAUACUGAAGUUUGUCUUUUUAAAAUAGCAAUUUUAACAUAAAGCAAAAGGAAAUUUUAGUGUUUAUAAUAAUUUAUACUCAUAUUAUUAUAAUCUCCUUACCAAGAUUAGCUUAAGCAUUAACUAAUCUCUAAUAUUAUUAUUAUUUGACUUUUUCAAAAUCCUCUUUCAUUCUUUCACUUUAUAUUCAAUGUCUUGUCUUAACAUAGUCAUUUGGCUUUGGCAUCUGUGCUGCCGCCUUCAAUUGUUUCCACCGUUGGAUUUAGGCUUUGGUAGGAUUCUUAUCUUUGUUGUCGGUCGCCAGUCACCAUUGUUGACUUCCUGCUGUGGAAAUAGAUAAGGGAAUUGUGAGUGUUUAGCUAGGUUGACAAUUCCGGACAAAAUUCCUAAGUGUCCCCUAACUCGACUUUCCUAUUCCUAUUCGAACUACUUGACUUUGAAGACGAAGACUUUGCUAAGAGGCCGAGGUAUGUAGCCGAGUGUGUGAUGAUUGGAUGUGAAUCAACCCGGUUUUUAAGCUUUAAAUGUGUUAGAAAGUUAGGAGAAAUGGUUUUUGGUGCAAGACUAUCAUUUCCCUGUUUCUGGAUCAAUCCAAGUGUAGGGGUGGAUCAAUCCAACUAAUGUUUUUUUGAUAAAAUCUCAGCCAUUAGAUUAAGGGCUUCUUUUUACACUUUAAAAACCAAUCUUCUCUCAUUUUCUGGGGAGAGUGACUGCAGAAACGUGGAGAGAGCAGCCACACUCCUUGUGUUCUUCAUCUUCUCAUUUUGUUUUCCCAAUUUGGGGUUUUUGAUUGCAAAGAAAAUCCACUUCUCUUAAUGUUUUCCAAACUGGUUUUUAAUGGAUUUUCUUGAGCAACAAAUGGGUUGAUUCCUUCCUUCCUUCAUAUCUCAAUCUCUCAUUCUAUUUGGGUUUGUGCAAAAACCCAUUUUCUUCUUGUGUGGAUUCAAGAAGAGGUCGAGAUUGAGCUUGGUGCGGACUCCAAGUGUGCUCUAAAAGGAGAAGCUGAAAAUUAAGGUACUAGUCAAGUAUUCCGGGAAGGAUUGGUUGGCUUGAGCUAGGUAAAACCUUGUAUUCAGUUUUUAUUCUUCAUAGUGGAGUUUUCAAUCGGUGAUAGGCCCGUGGUUUUUGAUCUCUUCGGAGGUUUUCCACGUUAAAAAUCCGGUGUUCAUUAUGAUUUAUUUUUGAGGAGUGUUGAAGCAUUUGCAUGUGUUUAGCAUUUAUAAAUUGUUAGGAGAGUGUUGAUGCAUACAUUAUUGCUUGUGGAUGUUUUGCUUUGUUGAAAAGUUAUUGGAAGGAAAAAUUCUUGACAUUAAGAUAAUCUAAGGUUAGGUAAUCUUUGUUGGGAGAAAUUUUAAAUUAUUCUACAACACCUAUUCACCCCCCUCUAGGUGUAGUUCAUUAUUGAGAUUCACAUUUUCAAUUGGUAUUAGAGCAGGUUUUUAAAAGAAAAAUCAUUUUCGGUCCUUGAAUCUCAAUCAUGGAACCUCAUCAAGAGGGAGCUUCUAUUGGGAGACCACCAUUUUUAACCGGCGAAAAUUAUUCUCAUUGGAAAGUGAGAAUGCAAUAUUUUCUCAAAAUGCAAAGUGAAAAAGUUUGGAAUGCAGUUGAAUUUGGUUGGUCUCCACCUAAGGUGUUGGAUAGAGAAGGAAGACCAACUAAUGUUAUCAAGCCUAAGUUGGAAUGGGAUAGAGGUGAUAAUGAAGCUAGUGAGAACAAUGCUAGAGCCAUGUAUUCUAUCUUUAAUGCCAUUAGCACGGAUGAAUUUCGUAGGAUAGCCACAUGUACUUCGGCUAAGGAGGCUUGGGAUAUCCUCCAAGUGACUCAUGAAGGCACUAAUGCUGUGAAAGUGUCCAAACUUCAAAUGUUAACCUCUAGGUUUGAGACAAUUAGGAUGGAGGACCAUGAGAACUUUGGAGAGUUCUAUGCAAAACUGAUGGACAUUGUGAAUUCUAGUUUUAAUCUAGGUGAGCCCAUCCCUAAUUCCAAAGUGGUUAAAAAAAUUCUAAGAUCUCUUCCCGAGAUAUUUAGAGCAAAAGUCGCUGCCAUUGAAGAGUCCAAGGAUGUGGAUUCCUUGAAAGUGGGUGAACUUGUGGGUUCACUCCAAACCUUUGAAAUGACUCUUGUAUCACCUAGGAAAGCUAAGGGAAUUGCUUUAAAAGCUAUUAAAGAAGAGUCCCUAAGUUCCGAAAGUGAGGAUGAUGAGAAAAUGUCAGAGGGUGAGCUUACUAAGUUUGCUAAAAAAUUCAAGAAGUACAUGAAAUUCAGAAAAGCCAAGAAAGAAUCAAAUGAUGGUAAAAAAUGGAGGAACUCAAUUGGAAAAGAGAAAAAGAUGGAGAAAGAUGUGAAAAAGGAGUUGAAAAUUGAGUGUUUUAAAUGUGGGGGAAAGGGUCACUAUGCAUUUGAAUGUCCCUCAAAGAAAAAAGACAAGAAAGCCAUGCAAGUUACUUGGAGUGACUCCGAGUCUAAUCAAUCAAGUGAAAAAGAAUCUAAUGGAAGUGAGGAAUGCACUAACUUCAUAGCCUUUGUUGCAAGUGUCAAUGAGGAACCUCUUUUAAAAGAAGCUUCAAGUGAGUCAAGUGAGUCAAGUGACUCCAAUGAUGAUGACAUGAGUUUUGACACAGCAUAUGAGACUUUGUAUAAGGAGUGUUUGAACCUUAAACAAGAACAAGUCAAGUGGAAGGCUUCUAAGAAGAUUUUAACCAAUGAGGUUGAUGUUUUAAAGGGAGAAAAGAAAGCCUUGCUUGAUAAAAUUGCAUUUCUUGAAAAUGAACAUUUGGAAGUGAAGGAAAAAUGUGAUGUGUUGAAAAGUAAAAUUCAAAUGUUCAAGGAUGCGUUAAGUCUUAGGAAGGAAGAGUUACAUCCUAGCUCUAAAAGACUUAAUGAGUUGAUUAAUUCAGGGCGUAAAUCUUUUGAUAAAAGAGGCUUAGGAUUUCUUGGUGAAAAUGCUACUCCAAGUAGUAGUAAAACGGUUUUUGUUAAGCCUUGUAAAUCUCCUAAGAAAACUCAAUCUCAAAUCAAGUUUCAUUGCAAUUAUUGUGGAAAAAUGGGACACACUUUUGAUAGAUGUUAUGCAAGAUUGUUUGAUAAUUUUCAAAGGAGAUUGACCAACCUAAUGAAUGAAUGUCAUGCUUUGAAGAAUAGGUUGUUGAAUGAGAAUAAGAGAGUGUCCAAGAAGAGCUCAAAGAUCUCUCAUAAUGGUGAGUUGAAAGGAAGCACUUUGAAUGAAAAGACAAAACUUUCAAAUGUUAAACAAAUUUGGGUGAAAAAGAAUGAGUUGAAGUGUUUUGUUGUCCAUACUGCACUUAGAGCUAUUGAGUCACACUCAUGGAAUCUUGAUAGUGGAUGUUCACAUCAUAUGACUGGAAAUAAAUCUUUGUUCACUGAAUUUGAUGGAGGAAAUGUGACAUUUGGAGAUGGUAAUAUGGCUAGAGUGAAAGGCAAAGGUACCAUUUGUGCCCCCAACAUUCCUAAUCUUGAAGAGGUCUUAUAUGUUGAAGAUUUAAAGGCUAACUUAAUUAGCAUAAGCCAAAUGUGUGAGAAUGAGUUCAAUGUCCAAUUUUCACAAAAUCUUUGCAAGGUGUUUGACUUGAAUGAUGUUUGUGUGAUGAUUGGCUUGAGAACUUGUGAUAAUUGUUAUGUUGUUAGUCAAAAAUCUCUUUCAUCAUCUUCUCUUGUGUGUGGAAGUUCUAAAAUUGCAUGUGUUAAUCACUUGUUGAAACAUAGAUUGUUGCAAAAUGAAAAAGAACAUCCCAUUGUAAAAGUUAGGAUUGAUAAGGGGAGAAAAUUUGAAGAUGCCAAUGUUGUUGAUAGGUUAAAGAACCAUGUUCUUCAUUCUAGAUCAAAACAUGUGGACAUUAAGCAUCACUUCAUUCAAGACUUGGUAGAAGACAAGAUUGUUUCACUAGAGUUUUUCCUUAUGGAGGGUCAAAUUGCUAACAAUGUUACUAAACCUUUGGAUGUUUCUAGGUUUGAAUCACUUAGGAGCCCCAUAGGUUUAUAUACUCUCUAUUAACUACCUCUAGAACUUGUCUAGGACUUUCUUCUUGAAUAUCUUUGAGUCCUAGGUGUCUUCUCAAGUUCCAAAGUGUCCUUGUGGUGGUGUUCUUUUUGUUUUGGUUUAAUCUUUUCUUCAUUUUUCAUAAAUUUUCAACAUUUGUUGAGUUCAUGAGAGUGACAUGCUUACACUUUUGUUUAAGAGUUAAAUUGACUCUUAAUGAUCUUAAAAGCUUCAAGAUGCUUUUUAUCUCCAUGGCUUGAUUGGUAAACAUGAUAUUGAAUCCUUGCUAUUUUGAUUUGAUUAGAUAAACCUCAAAGGGUUAGCUUCAUUUCUUUUAAGUGAGUAACAACUCAUGGUUGAACCUUAUGAUUACAUAAAUUGUGAGUAAUGUUCUUUAUAGUCUAAAUGCAAACUUAUGUUUAUCUAAUGAGCAUUAAAAAGUGAGUAAAGUCAUCCAGAAUAUCCUUGAGUGUUUAAGAUUAUUCUUCCUUGAUUGUUUGCCCUCUCUUUGAAAUUAAUAAAAAAAAUAAAAAAUAUUAAGUUUCCCAGAAUGGUUAUGGCUCAUUGGCAAUGUUUCAAGAGUUAAAAAGCCUCCAUUGCAAGAGUGGGACAUCCCUUAUGUUGUUAUGUUGUAAAGGCCACCUUAGUGAUCCUCAAAUUUAAAAAAAAAAAAAAGAUCCUAAGAGUGAAGCUCAUGUUUGUGAAAUCAUUUCAAUGCUCAAUGUGAAAAACAAAUGUUGUAUGAAUUUUUUUUGGGGAUGUGAAUAAGCCGUGUUAAACAGAAAUCCGGCCAAGAGAGGUGCAAAUUGACUUCUUGGAAUAUUAUCUUGAAUUUCUCUAGGAAGGAAGUGUGUCUUGAAAAUGAUUUUUUGCUUUAUGGGUGGAUAUAGGUUUAUAAGUGGAAAGAAAUUAACAUUCUCACUAUUUUAUGGUGUCAUGAGUAAGUCUUCUUUGAGCUUAAGCUUCCUUGUUAGAAUGUUGAUAAUCAUUUGUUUUUUAUCUAUUCAUUUGAUAAAUCUGGAAGGUUCUUCAAUCUUUAUGUUUAUUAAUUUUGUCUAAAGUUAAGCUCUUGGUAGCAUUCUUGUUCAAUAUGAAUCAAUUCUAACUCAUUGAUUGAAAGAUAAGUAUGCCAUCCUAUUGAAUCUUAGUUAUGGUGAAUCAAAUUUUCAAUGUUUGGAAAGCUUGUUGGGUUUCGUGUGUUUUUAUUGUAAAUUUUUUGCCUAAGUCAUUUUUCAGUAGGGUGUCGAUCGAUCUGCUGAAUUUGUGGAUCGAUCCACUGUGUGCAUAGUCUUGUGACCGAGAGCCCUUGAACGAUGUGUGGAUCGAUCCACCAAGAUCGAUACCACUUGCUCCAACACUUAGAAAUUUUCGUGAAAAGUUUCUUGCACAGUUUUUUCCACUGAGAGCUCCUGAACGAAACUUGGAUUGAUCCACCAAGAUCGAUACCACUUAUCUCUUAAUAAAAAAUAAAAAAAUUCUUGUUUUGUCCUUGGUUUUGUGAGUUUUUUAAAAGAAGAUAUGAGGGGUAAAAUUGUCAUUCUGUAUAAUAAAAAAAAAAAAUCAAAAUCCCCAAUCUUUAAAAACCUCUCUUCCAUUCUCAAUUGAGCCCUGAUUUCAAAAUAUUUCAAAAAGGGUCUUCAUCUUCUUCUUCUUCUCUUCUUCAUUGCAUAAGCUUCCACCACCAUGGUUGCUGAAAUUUAUUUCUGAUGAAGUCCUCAUCUGUCAUCAUUCUUUUCAACAUUGGAAAUCUCUACAUCAAUGUUUCAUUGGCGCCAUUUCUUUUCCGGAGUGGCUCAUUCACGGGUUUCUUAGUUUAAGCUAUCUUUUUUGGGAACCUUGGGUGUUCAGUUUGUCCAUCUUUCUCUCCACCAUUGGCUUAAUCUAGAUGCUUUCUUUGUGUGGAAUCCUUUUACAACAGAUUUUUUUUGGAGUUUCAUUUUUGCCUUGGAUUGUUUUUGCUUUCUAGCAAUGUUAAUCCUAGGCUUUGUUUACUCAUUGUGAGUGCCCUCUAUACAUUUUCAUGCUUGGAAUCUAUUUUCAUGGUGAUAAAGCAUUUUUUGGAAGUUUUUAAAUGAAACCAUGUGAUGAGAUUUAGGGGGAGUUCCGUAUAUCUUAUGAUGGGAGUUAGGGGGAGAUUCUUGUAUCCUAUAUUUUUUUUGGGAUGUUGAUAUGGAUGCUUGGUAAUAUGUGAAUACUUGAUUUUUGAGUAUUUGACAUUUUGUUGAAAUGUGGAUGUUUGUUGAUUUGGAUGUGAGAUAUUCUGCUAAUUGAAUGGUCAUCCAUUUGUCUUUUUUCUUGGAUAGAAAGGGGGAGAUUGUGGCCUUUUGUCUCUUUCUGGGACAAAAAGGGGAGAGACAUUGUAGUUAUUAUUUUGGUGAUUGGAUAUAUGUGGAUAUCUAUGUGUUAAUUCAUUCAAAUCUUGUGGAAGUGCCUUGGAAUAUGUACAGGUGCUACUAAUGUUUUUCUUAAGAUUUUUUUUGCAGGUAUUGUAGUACCUAGGUUGUGGUUUUGAGUGAGUGAGUGGCUUUGUAUGAGAGUUGGGUGAGGCUUACUUACUUGUACUCAUUCGUGUUGUAAAGGGUUUUGUCCCAGAAUUGCCAAAGGGGGAGAUUGUGAGUGUUUAGCUAGGUUGGCAAUUCCGGACAAAAUUUCUAAGUGUCCCCUAAUUCGGCUUUCCUAUUCCUAUUCGGACUACUUGACUUUGAAGACGAAGACUUUGCUAAGAGGCCGAGGUAUGUAGCCGAGUGUGUGAUGAUUGGAUGUGAAUCAACCCGGUUUUUAAACUUCAAAUGUGUUAGAAAGUUAGGAGAAAUGGUUUUUGGUGCAAGACUGUCAUUUUCCUGUUUCUGGAUCGAUCCAAGUGUAGGGGUGGAUCGAUCCAACUAAUGUUUUUUUAAUAAAAUCUCAACCAUUAGAUUAAGGGCUUCUUUUUACACUUUAAAAACCAAUCUUCUCUCAUUUUCUGGGGAGAGUGACUGCAGAAACGUGGAGAGAGCAGCCACACUCCUUGUGUUCUUCAUCUUCUCAUUUUGUUUUCCCAAUUUGGGGUUUUUGAUUGCAAAGAAAAUCCACUUCUCUUAAUGUUUUCCAAACUGGUUUUUAAUGGAUUUUCUUGAGCAACAAAUGGGUUGAUUCCUUCCUUCCUUCAUAUCUCAAUCUUUUAUUCUAUUUGGGUUUAUGCAAAAACUCAUUUUCUUCUUGUGUGGAUUCAAGAAGAGGUCGAGAUUGAGCUUGGUGUGGACUCCAAGUGUGCUCUAAAAGGAGAAGCUGAAAAUGAAGGUACUAGUCAAGCAUUCCGGGAAGGAUUGGUUGGUUUGAGCUAGGUAAAACCUUGUACUCAGUUUUUAUUCUUCAUAGUGGAGUUUUCAAUCGGUGAUAGGCCCGUGGUUUUUGAUCUCUUCGGAGGUUUUCCACGUUAAAAAUCCGGUGUUCAUUGUCUCUUUCUCUCACUCUAUAUUAUGAUUUAUUUUUGAGGAGUGUUGAAGUAUUUGCAUGUGUUCAGCAUUUAUAAAUUGUUGGGAGAGUGUUGAUGCAUACAUUAUUGCUUGUGGAUGUUUUGCUUUGUUGAAAAGUUAUUGGAAGGAAAAAUUCUUGACAUUAAGAUAAUCUAAGGCUAGGUAAUCUUUGUUAGGAGAAAUUUUAAAUUGUUCUACAACACCUAUUCACCCCCCUCUAGGUGUAGUUCAUUAUUGAGAUUCACAUUUUCAGGAAUCGUCUUAAAUAAGGGAUUUUUGAUUAAAAAAAAGUCUUUUUCAUAAAAUAUUUAUUAGAAUAUGAUAGUUUUGAAACUAUUUCCAAAUAAGUAUAGAUUUGAAAACAGCUUGUGAUUUGAGAUUUGAAAGUCUCACUUAAGAAUCUAAUAUUCAAAAUAGCAAGAUAGUUUGUGAUUUGAGAUUUGAAAGUUUCUUAAUCACAACUAUUAUAGAAUAGACAAAUAUUACAGUUAAGUAGAACAAACAAUGCUUACUAAAGGAGUAGAACCAAAACAAAUUUGAAAAGCUCUUCCAAUCAAAUCGAUGACUCCAUUACACCUAAAUUGUUUGCAAACAUUUAUUUCCCUAUUGGUCUAAAGACAAAAGCAUCCCACAUGAGGUUUUGUCCUCAAUGGAGUUGGGGAUUCGAUCUUUUGAACAAACCAAAAAGACUUCAUCAAGAUGGGCUUAUCGUUAAAGCCUAAACAUUCUAAAAACAUUAUAUCCCAGAUACCUUGACUUAAAACUGCACAUUCUUUGAAACAAUAGGCAUUAGAAGCUUACAAUUCUAAAUUUAAAAAGGACAUCUGAUUUUCUGCCAAACGCAUGGUUAAAAAUAUUGAAUUCAAGCCAAGACAAACCUUAAAAAUCCAACAAGGAAAGGAGUGCCAGAUGGCAACAGAUCACCUCUCUAAACAUCUAUUUCUAAAGGGAAAAUCCUAGACUUCUUUUGCUGUUCCAAGUAACAAGGCCUGGCUAGCCACUUUGGUUAGAUCAGGUAUACUAAAUUCAGGCAGUUUUGACCCUCAAAACAGAACAUAGGUAACCUGUUAUUUAUAUCACUGUGAAAAACCUGUUAUUUAUAUCACUGUGAAAAACAGAACACAUAUCAUAACAGAGAUUCACCCCCACACCUUAAUUUAGAAAACUAGCUCACCCCCCUUUAAGGGUGGUGUGUUGCUGAUCCUCCCUAUAUAAAUCUCUAGUCCUUUUUAAUAUUUGAGACACCAAAUUCCACAACCUACAUUCAGUACUCUCCAAUGGCAUUGUCAUAUAUUCACCUUCACUCGGUUUUCUAUGUCUUUGGUACUAGCAGAUACACUAAUUAACUUUCCAUUUCCUGUGACGCUUGAUUGAUCUACACAUCUAAAUAUAAGUAGUAAUGCUGUAUUAUGUUCUUUAUUCUUCUCAGGUGUUGAUGCGGUGAUUUUCACAUUACAAAAUAGAUGCAGGAAAACUAUAUGGCCAGGGAUCACACCUGGAUCUGGAAAACCUCAACUAAUGGAUGGUGGGCUUGAAUUAAGACCAGGUCAAUCAGUAGAUAUCAAUGCCAGACAAGGGUGGUCAGGCUGUUUUUGGGGUUGCCGUAGCUGUUCAUUUGACAACUCAGGAAAGGGAAGCUGUCACUGGUGAUUGUGGUGGUGUGCUAAAAUGUGCUGGGGCAGGUGGCGCACCACCUGCAACACUUGCAGAGUUUACCCUUGAUAGUAGAUUUUUAUAAUGUUAGCCUAGUUGAUGGAUACAACAUGCCAGUGUCAAUAUUCCCUUCCGGUGGGUCUGGUGAGUGCAAGGCAGUGACAUGUGUUUCAGACUUGAAUCAGAGACGCCCCAAGGACCUGCAAAUUCUAAGGAAUGGUACUGUUGUAGCUUGUAACAGUGCAUGCAUGGCAUUCAACAAACCUGAGUACUGCUGCUCUGGAGCCUACAUGCCACCUGAGACCUGCAAACCAACAGAGUAUUCUAAAGUGUUCAAGGCUUCUUGUCCUACAUCUUAUAGCUAUGCAUAUGAUGACCCAACAAGCACUUUCACAUGCAAAGGAGCUAAUUACUUGAUCAGAUUUUUUAAAAUUUAUUUCUAAGAAGCAAGGAACCCUUAUAUGUACAGAACAUUUGAACAUCAUAUAAGCACAAUCCAAUGAAGAUACGUUUAUACUACAUGUAGGCAAUAUAUUUGGACCUUAUGAAAGUAGAAUGGAUAGAAAUGAAUUCCAGUACACUUGUGAACACAAAGAAAACCCAGAUUCAUGAUUCUUCUUGUUAUGGAUGGAUGGACUAGUUAUGACUUGGGAUUUAUUUAUACAUGCUAGGCACCUAAGGAGUGUAGGACACCGCCAUCUAUACAUGCAUACUUAUCUCUGUUGUUAUUAAUUUUGCUCUGCUUUCCUAAUGAUUAAGAUGUAACUUAUAGGUAGAAUACUGCCAGAAAGCUUUGAACCUCAAACCUCCAAAGUUAUUCAACUAGCCAAGCAACUGCUGAAAGCGAUCUACAUAGUUCAAAACAGAGCACACUAUUCUGCCAAAGAACCUUUUGCAAAGCUUCUUUCUUUCAGGAUGUUUUUCUAUGGUUCCAAUUAAACAACAUUUGAGAAAUUGGAGUUUGGCAUUUUUUUGUCAUUAGUUGGAUUUGGAAAGAGAGUAUUCAUAUCUGACAAGUCAUUGCUUGUGCAUAUAGGGAGGAAAAUAAAUCCUAAUUGUUGUAGUGUUCUUUACCAUUAUGAAGCCAAUUUGAACGAUCCUAAACCACAAUCAUGCAAGAGAGAUAUCUGGAGUAUUUAUAGGGUAAUAUUCCUAAAUCAAAAUGAAGAGAAGGGAGAUGAAAAUGGUUAAUUAAGAUUUAAAACAUGAGAUGCAGUAAUAAUAUAAGUGAAGAGUUUGUCUCUUUUGCAAAGUUGAAAUCAUUCCCUAGUUCGUAUUGGAUUUGGUGCAAUAGAAAUGAACUUGAUUUAGACAAAAUAAUCCAACUUCUGGUCAGAUCACUGAAAAACUGCUAGAAUCUAAGCAAGUCGUGAGAAAAUUCAGUUCUUUGAAGUCGAGAUACCGCCUAUGACUUUUGGGUUAAAACCUAUAAGAUUGUUUGGUGGAUUCCACAUGGUGAGGACUAGUUUAAACUAAAAUCAAUGGGUCAAAAAGAGAGACAAGGUACUAUAGCUGAUUAAUGUAUAAAUGAAUCAUAUUAAUUGUUUGAAGUAACAAGAUUCUGGAAGAAGAGAAACAAAAUGACAAGACCAUAAACAACUUACAGUAAGUAGUGCUCCAAGAUAUCUAUGUGCGUGCCGUCUGAAGAAAUCCGAUGAUGAUCAAGAAGCCAGGUUGUUUUAGAACUUGAGAAACCCAACCAACAGAGACUGCAGUUUCAACCAUAAACAUUGCCAUUGAUCACAAAGCGCUGGAGGUGUCGUGCCUACAAUCACUCAAUUCACAGCCUCCUUAGGCCCUAUCUAAAUGGGAAUGUGUCAUGCACAGAGAUUUGAGGACUUUGCUUCAUAAUGUUUAGAGAUAAUUAUCGGGAGAUGAUCCUUCAGUUUUGAGUUUUUAGUCAUCUUGAACAGAUUAAUGAGCAUUCAAUUGUUCAGCACCCAGGAAUCUACCCUUCAUCUAAUUCCUCCACUGGGAAAACUCUAACAAGAUCUGAACAAUCUAUUCUUUCUUCAGAUUUUACUUCCUUGGAAAAGUCAGCUUCCCAAUCAAGAAAAUCAUCAGGAUUAAUUUGAGCAAAUAUAUCAGAGUAUACAUCAAGCAAGCAUUGAUCAAAAUCAAAAUCCAUGUUUUCAACUGGUUCCUUCUUCUGGGGGCUGGACUGUGGCUUAUUAGCUUAUGUCGAUUUCACAUGCUUCAUGAGAUCUAGAACCUAAGGAUCUGAAGAACCACCAUAUUCUUCUAUUUCCUCUUCCCUGAAUGAAAUGCCUUCUGAACUUGGGUGAUCAAUGGCAACAGACUCCUUAAGCUCUGGUCGAUGACAACAGGGAUUGGCAUCCUUAAUGACAUUGAAAUCAUAGCUAUGUGAAAGGAGGGAAACAUGAAUCAGAGGGUGCUCCAGAAUAACUAAAUUGGCUAAUUGCUGUCUUAUUGGAGCUCUUAUAUCCAACUCACGGAAUGGUGACCUGGGGUCCUGCAGUGACAUGGAAGGAUUAGAUUUUUUUUCAGAUAUAAAUUUUUUUACUUGUUCACAAGGGGAAAAAAUGUUUUGAUAGUGGUUUUUUUUUUUUUUAAUACUAUAAAGAGAGGAAAGUUAUAUACAAGGAAAUGUUAUAGAUAGAAAAUAUUUGAGUAGACAUCAGGUAAUGGCUGGAGUUCAGGUGGGAAUAGUAGAAAAUUCUUUUCAUAGGUAACAUGGGUGUAGUAGAAUUAAAGGAAAAACAGAAACCCAAAUGGGACAAUCAUCAAUAACCCAAUUCAGUCCCAACCCAGGAUGCUCAUUUCCCAAAUCCAGGGGAAAAAAAAUGUAAAUUCAGGUAUUUUCAUAUGGACCAGUUAGGUGACCAACUAUUUUACGCACCAUAAACCAUUAUUGGAACCAGAGAACCAGAGAGACAAGUAUAAUUUUUUGGUUGGCAAUGCACUGCAUGUUGCAAGUUGAGCAAACCUAGCCUCUCAAUUUCAAAGAUUUCAGCAGCAGUGCCUAGCAUAAAUGAACCAUCUCCAAAGAGGAUGAACAAUAAACCACAAUAAAAAAAGAGUGGCCCAAUUAGCAAAUAGUGCAUGGAUGAUGUCCUAUACCUUAGCUGGCAUUUUGGCUCAUGGCCUCAACACUAGCUCAAUGUAAUCUAACAAUAAAGCUGGGUUCAGCACAGUUGGAUUCCUAAACAAGUUGCCCCAGCUCCACAAGGGCCAAGACAAUCCAGUAUGUUAUAUUUCUAUGGAAGCACAAGAAACCUUUUUAAGGCUUAAAAUUGGUGCCACGGGUAUCUACAAUCAACAACUAUAAAUCAGCAAGGAAAAGGAAAUACCCUCAGAUAUUAACGAAUGAAAAUUUUGAGACAGUCCAGCUGCUGUGCACAGAACGGCUUGAGCUUAUGAUUCCAUGCCCCAGGCUUUAGAUGGUUCUCAAUUACAGAUGAGAGGGUUGAGUUUUCAUUUAUUCAGUAAUAACAUUAAAUGAAUCAAUGAAACAAUAAAAUUUGAUAGACUAGGAAGACUAUGAUAAAAGCUCUACUGAAGAUAAGAAUAGGUAAGAGAGCUCACCCGUGGUCGAGUAAACAAUGUCUGUUGAAUGAAACCACCAUUCAAUCGUCCAAGUAAUGCAUUUAUCUCUAGUAAAAAAUAUAUGAAAAUGGUAAUGCUAGGAACUGGAAAAUAAAAAAUAAAAUAAAAAAUCUCAAUUUAUUUAAAAAUUAAAAAAAAUAAAGGCCAAAGACAGUUCAUUGAGUUCAAAAACUAGUUUGACUACUAAUUUUUUAAAUAACAGUGAUAUGAAAAAAAAAAAAAAAAGCUAGAAAAUAGAAACUCCAUGUAAAACAUAAAUCAUAUCAAAUUCAACUAACAAACAACCCAUAAGUAGACAUGUAGUAAUCUUCCUUCAAACUAAAGACAACUAGUUAUCUCAUGAAUACUUGAUUACCUUAGGUUGCAUUGAGAUUUAUUUUUCUCUCUCUUUGACAUUCCACUGGGGAGAAAUAGGAGUUUGUCCUGUGACUCUGUGCAGCAUUCCUAAGGCCUUGGAGAUGGGAUGGAAUCUUAAAAUGAGAAUACCCUAACAAAUUAACUCUUGUUCUCUGAGCAGAUUCUGCGACCCUCUUCACUUCCUCGAGCAAAUUAUAAUCUACCCAAAAAUAAAUAAAUAAAUAAAACUGCAAAAAGGGUAAGUGAAAUCUGAAGACAACACAACAAACUUCCUCAACAAUAUUAUAAUUUACCCAUAAUUAAGAACUCAAAAUCUUGAAAUGAAUACCAAAAUCUGAGGAAAAAGUGGCAACCUUCUUCACUUCACAUAAAUUAACAAUCAACCCAUGAAAAAACCUAAAUUUGUAUCCGAACUUUGAAAUUUGAAGACAAAACAUUCAACUUCCUCAAGCCAAUUACAAAUCACAUAAUACUACAUAGAAAAACCUUCAAAGCAGCCAAAAGGUAUGAAAUUUUUUUAUUAAAUUAAAACAUACCUGUAAAGGAAUGGACAAACCAGAAAAAGAAAACACUGUAUUAUGAAGACCAAAUAGCAAAAUUCCUCAAGCUAAUUACAAUACACCAUUACUGAACAUCUUCAAAAUGGUGAAACUUAUCAAACUUACCAGGAAAAAAAAAACGGUAAACUUCCUCAAUGGUGACCACAAUCCACUCAUGACAAACCCUCAGAAUAGCCAAAUGGGUAUUGAAAUUUGAUAAUAAAGAACAAAAUUGGGAGAAAUAAAAUACCAGAUAAGAGGAGAUUAUCGUCAAAUUGAGAGAGGGGAAUGAACUGGGUCCGCUGGCUCCUGACCGUACACCCCAGUGUGUUGCUUGUGAGCUUUCACACAAGGAAGACUACAGGAGCGCACAAAGCAACCUGGGCGUGUGUACUUUGAUAGAUUCAAUUUGUUCUCCUUGCACAGAGGUGGGAGUUUAGGGUUUUGGGCUGUUGCAGAUGAGUCUUCUCGUUCUUCCAAGGGAGGAAGGCUGAGGGCUUUAAGCUAUGUUUUCAUAAUAACUAGCUGUUGGAUGGGAAAAGGAAAGGACAACUAUGUUUAAGGGGUUUAUCAGCCGAACCUGAAAAUUCCCAUAUAUACUUAAGAGAUUCAAGAAAAAUAAACAUACUUUAUGAAUAAGUUUGGGCGAAAGUUUAGGAUGAAAAAAAAUUGUUUUUUCUCACUUUCUUUAUUAGAAUAAGAGCUAAGAUUUUGGAUUUUUUUUUCAUUCAAAUGAAAACGUCUAAUAAAAAAUAUAAGUUGAAAAAAAAAGCCAAAAAAAAGAGGAAAGAAGGAAAAAGGUAAUUUGCUUUCAAAUUUAAGUCCCAAAAGAAAAUAAACAAUCCCUAUGUUUGGAUUGAAAAUUUUCAAGACAAGAAAUAAAAUAUUUAUAUAUAUUUUUUAAUUUAAUUUUUUUAAUUCUCUUUAGAAAAGUCAUAAAAAGAAAACUAAAUUACUUAAAAAAAAAAAAAAAAACCCUCAUACAAAUUGAAAGGUGAAUCUCAAUAAUGAACUACACCUAAUGGAGAAGGGUGGAUGGUGAAUACGUGUUGUUGAACAAUUUAAAAAUCUCCCAAUAAAAAUUACCUAAUUUUAAAAUUUUUUACAAAUCUUCGCUUUCCUCUUCAAACAUUUUGCAACACAAAGUAAAUGUCACAUACAAAAAUGGAUGUAACAAUACUCUCCCAACAAAUUCAAAUGCAAGUCACAUGUAAAUGUUUUAACACUCCCCAAUAUUAAUUCAUAAAAACAAUAAUUUCCUUAACUCAUUUCCAAUAACUACAAGAUAUCAAUAACCAAAAUGAAGAGAAAAAUUAUUUAUGAUAUUCAAUGGAUAAUCGCACCUAUUUCAAUUCAUUUUUUUUCUUUCAUUCAACAUAUAUGCCCAAGUAAAUAAUAAUAUCAAAAAUUGAAAAUAAAUCAAAGAGUAAAAUGAGAGAAAAAGACAAUUGACACAGAUUUUAAUGUGGAAAACCUCCGAAGAGAUAAAAAAACUACGGAGCUACAACUAAUUGAAAACAUCCACUAUGAAGAAUAAAAACUAAAUACAAAGUUUUACCUAACUCAAUCCUAUCAAUCAUUCCCAGACCAUUUGACUAAUACCUUCCACUUUUAGCUUCUCACCUUCUUCUUUCGAAGCACACUUGGAGUCCAUACCAAGUUCGAUCUCGGCCUCUUCUUAAAUCCACACAAAAAGAGAAUAAGUUUUUUUUUUUUUUUUUUUACCCAAAUCUAAAUAGACUAGAAAUUGAGAGAUGAAUGAAUAAAAAAUCAACCUAUUUUUUCCUUAAGAAAAUCCAUUGAAAACAAUGGAAAAGUUGGAUUUUCUUGACAACCAAACACCCCAAAAUAGGAUAGCAGAAGGAACCAAAGGGGGUGACUAUUGUCUCUCAUCUUUUGAACAAGAAACAAAUUUUGGGUUUUUAAAUGAAGGAGCCCUUAUCCAACGGAUGAGAUUUCAUAAAAAAAGUGUAAGUUGGAUCGAUUCGAUUUAAAGCUAAACCAAUCAUGGAACAGAGCAUUUUGAAUACUUAGUAAAAAAAAUACUUCCUAAACAUUCGUAACAUUUUAAAAAUAUUUUAAGUAAAACAAUAUUUAAAUAAAAUGGUUGAUUCAAUUUCAUCCAACUCCAACCUCAACUACAAGCCUUGGUUUCUUAACAAGUUUAAUAAAUUGAUCUCUAUUAGCUAAGUAAUCUGUUGAAGGAUUAGAAAAUUUGAGUUGGAAGAAAAUUAAAAAUUGUGUCUGGAAUUGUAAAUCCAACUAAAUACUCACAAUCUGAUUUUCAACUUGGAGAAACUAACUCUAAACUGGAGGCUCCUCUACCGAUGUGGACUCACCAGUCGUGGGUAUGCCAAAUAAAUUGGAAAUUUGACUACUUGCUUGGUAAAGAAGAUGGUGAUAUUGUUGCCACAAGUUGUCUCAUGUCACCCUUGCUGCGAGGAAGACCCAUAAAAAUACGUAGGCUUGAAAUGCAAUUGAGGAAGUUAUCCUUGCUCUUGGUCACUGUGAUGCCAAGAAAAUGAAGUUACUUUGAUUCAUAAUCACAUUUAAUUAUAUGAAUGUUAAAUUGACAAGUUAUUAAUGUUAAACAAAUGCUUUUGUCAUAAUAAUUUUUUAUAACCAGGUUUUGUGAUCAUUUUGAGCUUUGAAGCUAGAAAUCAAGGUUCGGAAAAAACCGCAAGGAAUAUUGGUUUGAUUUUAUGGAUAUAAAAAAUAUCAAUAAACAAAAAUUAAUCAAAAUUAAUAAAAUAAAAAAAUUGGAACAACUCUAAAAAUAUAGAAGAAUUAAUAAUAUACAUAUAUGAUAUAAUUUGUUAUAUUUUAUAAUAAUAUUUAGUAUAUUAAUAAAAAUUAUAAAUUUUUUAAAUAUAUACUCAAUAUUAACCUACAUUACGCAUUUAAUUUUAUUAAAUGAUAUUUCAAUAAUUUAUAUACAUUUUGUUUAAUAAAAUUUGAAAAAUAAAAUAAUUAAAAUUAAUGAAUUUAUAAAAAAAAAUAAUAUUUUUUAAUGAAUUUAUAUAUAUAUAUAUAUAUAUAUAUAUAUAUAAUAUUUGAUGGCAUUACACUCUUGCACCUGAGAGAACCACACAGGCCGAAAAAUUCAGGAAAAAAAAAACCGAAAAAUUGAAAUACGAGCGACAAGCCGAAAAAUCCCGAAAUUUUUUUAUGUCGGGGAUAUAUCCCCAAAUAUGGGCCGACAUUUUUCUCCUUGUUCUCAAUAACGAGAAACAGAAUGACACACAAGAUCAUCGAACAAAUCAUUCUACCGACUCAAGAAAAAUUAACAGCUGAUUUUAAUCAGGAUAUAUAUAAACACCCACGGACGCUAACAUUGAUUACCUUAAAAGUAGAAAAUGUGAAAGAAAAUGCUUCUCUUCUUCUUCUUCUUCAACACCAGAAAAACUAGACUUUGAAAAUUAGCUUUUUAUAAGAGACGUAGUUAUAUGCAUAUAUAGAGUAGAAACUUGAACAGUAUUCUGUUCUUCCCUAAAUCAAAAGUUUUCAAAUCCAGCUUUGAAAAGAUGCAUGAUCAUAGGCACAUAUACACACAUGGACUAGAAAUUGAACACAUUAACCUUACCUGCGAUUCUGCGGCUCCAUAGUGGGUUCCAUCUCUGUUGGUGAGUACUCGCCUCUGGUUCUUACUUUCUUAGGAAGCGUGGGUUUAUCGGUCCACUUGUAGCGAGUAGCAGGCAGCGAGUAGAGAGAGACUUACCGCCGGUUCUUAUUCAGUGUCCUCUGGUUCUUGCUCUCUUAGAAAGUGUGCGUUUAUUGGUCCAUCUUUUAACCAAUAAGAAAAGUACACGUAUAAAGUUCACUGAAUGAAAAAUUAAAAGCUACCAAUUAAAAAAAAAAAAAUAAUCACAUGCACGUCACAUUUAAGUUAUUUUUACAACAACCAAUUAUAUCAUUUAAGAAAUUAUUUUAUAAAAGUUGUAAAAUAUUUAAACUUUUUUAAAACGAAAAAUUUUGUGAAAGAAAAGUUGCUAUUUAUUUUAAUUUAUGAUAUAAAUUUAUAACACUAAGAUCUUGUGAAAAAAAAAUCAUUUAUAGAUAAAUUAAAAUAAGUAUUUAUUAUUAAAAAUUUGAAUGAUAAUCUAUCAAUUAUUAACCGAAAAAUGUAUUAUGAAUUUUUUUUGAAAUAUUGAAAGUAAUUUUUUGAAAAAAAAAAAUUAAAAUAAGACAAACAUAUAAAAUUUGAGAGUAUAAAAAAUUGUGAGAAGGGUAUGAGUAGUCCUUUCAAUUUUUUUAUAUUUAAUUUGAUAGGUUUUUUUUCCAAAUAUUCCAUUAAUUGUGACUUAAUAAGUUAUUUUAUUGUUAUUUGAAGUAAAAAUAAAAAUCUUAAAAUUAAAAACAAUAAAAAAUUUAAAAAUUAUAAAAAAUAUAAGAAAAGUACGAAAAACAUAAAGAUUCUUUCAAAUUUUAAAGUUUUAAUCUUACACCAUCUAAUAAUCCCGUUUUUACCAUGAAACUUCAUAAUGGUUUUUUCCCAUCGAUCUUCUUAUCUUUCUAGCAUUCCGGUUUGUCCAGAGAGCCUUAUAGAUCCAAUGUAUAUUUUUUUCAUACGAAUUGAGGUAUAAUUAUAAUUAAAUUUAACAUAAAACUAAAAAAUAUAUAAUUAAGUAUAAGGAGUAUGUUGAGAUAUUAUGAUAUAUUCUAGGAAAGUAGAUAUUAUGAUAUAUUCUAGGAAAGUAGAUAUUAUGAUAUAUUCUAGGAAAGUAGUUGCUAUUGUUUAGGAUUGUUUCCUAAACUCACGGUUUUCCCUUAAUUAGGUUUGCUUGAUGUACUAUAUAUUUACUGGAUGAAUAUCAAUUAGGGUGAAGCUUUGACCCUUUAAUCACACUUUACAUGGUAUCAGAGCGCUGACAUGCACACACAAUAAAACAAUGGCCGGCGACGAUGAACAACCACCAUUGCCGCCACCUAAAAGGGAGAUGAAUUCACCUUUUUUGCCCGAACAAUGGAAAGCUCUUGCGGGCUUAAUUGGUAAUGCUCAAGUUCCGGAUGACAGGUUGAAUGGUAAGUUUGACACGAAGUCAUGGAUCAUUGACACCGGGGCAACUCAUCACGUGACCGGUGAUUUAUCUUGGUUAUUUGAUACUAUAGCGUUGUUUGAGUGUCCGGUUGGCCUUCCUAAUGAUGAAUCUGUUGUGGCGACCCAAUCCGGUUCCGUUCGUUUGUCAAAUAACAUCACUCUUCAAAACGUUCUUUAUGUGCCGAAACUCAAUUGCAAUUUACUUUCGGUUUCACAAUUGACUGAUGACUUACAUUGUAUUGUCCAAUUUAACUCUUAUAUGUGUGCUAUACAGGACCACACCAAGGAGCUGAUUGGAACGGGAGUUAGGCGAGAUGGACUUUACUACUUCGGUGGAGCUGAAGGUGAUUCGGUACAACAUCUUUCUGUCCACAACGCAGCAUCCACUUUGGAGUUGUGGCACAAAAGGAUGGGACAUCCUUCAGAGAAAGUAGUGAAGUUACUUCCUCCAGUUAGCAAUCUUAAGGGUAGUUUAAACAAAGCUUGUGAAAUAUGUUUUCGUGCUAAGCAUUCUAGAGACAAAUUUCUUUUAAGUGACAAUAAGGCAACUAGAAUUUUUGAGAAAAUACAUUGUGAUUUGUGGGGCUCUUAUAAACAUGUCUCUUCUUGUGGAGCUUGUUAUUUUUUAACUAUUGUUGAUGAUUUCUCAAGAGCUGUGGAUUUAUUUGUUGGUCGAUAAAACAGAAGUUUUUCGGAUGUUUAUGUCUUUUAUUGCAAUGGUAGAUCGACAAUUUUCUCAAACAGUGAAAGUUGUUCAAAGUGAUAAUGGUACGGAAUUUAAGUGCCUACUUGACUAUUUUUCUGCAACUGGCAUUUUAUUCCAAACUUCUUGUGUGGGAACUCCGCAACAAAAUGGGAGGGUUGAGAGAAAACACAAGCAUAUUUUAAAUGUGGGGCGGGUAUUACGCUUUCAAGCAAAUUUGCCUAUUUAUUUUUGGGGCGAAAGUGUUCUUGCCGCUGCUCAUUUAAUAAACUGCACUCCCUCUCCUUUGUUACACAAUAAAACACCUUUUGAAAUCCUAUUUGGCACCCCUCCUUCAUAUGCGGCAAUUCACACCUUUGGUUGUCUUAGUUUUGCUCAUGAUAAAAAAUCCAAAGGUGACAAAUUUGCAAGUAGAAGUAGAAAAUGUGUGUUUUUGGGUUACUCGUUUGGAAAGAAGGGGUGGAAGUUGUUUGAUUUGGACACCAAGGAAUUAUUUGUUUCUCGUGAUGUCAAGUUUAUUGAGGAUGUUUUUCCAUUUGGUAACUCGGGUGCUGUGAAUAUUAUUCCGGAAAACAUUGUGCCUACGGUAAAUGUUGAAAUUGAUAGUGAUUUUGCUGAUUUUGUCGAUGAUGAUGCUGAUUUGCCUAACCCACAAGCCCAAACACAAAAUCCCAACCUCAUCCAACCUGAACCCCAAGCCCACCAAUAUCAGGUGCCCCAUUUUGAUGCCGAUCUAGAUCUGGGCUUGAGGGAGGGUGGGUCGGCCCACACCGAGGCUUCUUCAUCUACUCUUUCACCUGGGCCGGAAGUUGUUCCCACUGUUGGGCUUGAUUCACUUGGGCUUGACAAUACAAGCAAUGGGCAGUCUGCUCCUAUGGGAAAGGGAAUGAGAGAUAAAUUUCCUUCGGUUCUAUUACGAGAUUUUGUUACUCAUACGGUGGUUGCUGAAAGUCCAUCUCCCGCCACUCCGUCUCCACAGCAUCCCUCAGGUACUCCUUAUCCCAUAGCACAUUAUAUAAAUUGUGACAAUUUUUCUGUACAUUAUCGAAAGUUUCUUGCAGCUAUUAUUUCGAGCAAUGAUCCUAAGUCAUUUAAAGAGGUUAUGAAAGAUGUCGGUUGGCAAAAGUCAAUGCAUGAGGAGAUUCGGGCUUUGGAGGAAAAUGGUACGUGGACUCUUGAACCUCUUCCAAAGGGUAAGCGUGCUUUGGGAAGUCAGUGGGUUUACAGAACCAAGUACUUCUCAAACGAUGAUAUUGAAAGGCUCAAAUCUAGAUUAGUAGUUUUGGGGAAUCAUCAAGAAGCCGGUAUUGAUUAUCAUGAGACAUUUUCUCCAGUUGCCAAAAUGACUACGGUGCGUGCUUUCUUGGCUAUUGCGACUUCGAAAAAUUGGGAACUUCAUCAGAUGGAUGUUCACAAUGCCUUUUUGCAUGGAGAUCUUGAGGAGGAAGUGUAUAUGAAGCUACCCCCAGGAUUUGAGCGUUCCGAUCCGAACUUGGUUUGCAGGUUACGGAAAUCACUUUAUGGGUUGAAACAGGCUCCGAGAUGUUGGUUUGCCAAGUUGGUCACGGCUCUUAAAGGAUAUGGUUUCUUACAAUCCUACUCUGAUUAUUCUCUUUUUACUUACACUAAGGGCAAUGUUCAAAUAAAUGUGCUAGUGUAUGUCGACGAUCUUAUUAUCUCUGGGAAUGAUUCCGCUGCACUUAAGACCUUUAAAGCCUAUCUCAGUGAUUGUUUUAAGAUGAAAGAUCUUGGUGUUUUGAAGUAUUUCCUUGGAAUCGAGGUGGCCAGGAGUUCGGCUGGUUUGUUCUUGUGUCAACGCAAGUACACACUUGACAUUGUAUCGGAGGCCGGAUUACUGGGAGCCAAGCCGUGUGGCUUCCCAAUCGAGCACAAUCACAGAUUAGGACUCGCAAAUGGGAAGCUGUUGUCGAACCCUGAGUCCUAUCGCAGAUUAGUAGGUCGACUCAUUUAUCUGGCAGUGACCCGUCCAGAUUUGGCCUACUCGGUUCAUAUAUUAUCUCAAGUUAUGUAGGAGCCUAGAAUUGAGCAUUGGGAGGCGGCUUUGAGAGUCGUUCGUUAUUUGAAAGGUACUCCGGGUUAGGGUAUCUUGUUACGUGCAGAUAGUGAUCUGUCCCUGCAGGGUUGGUGUGAUUCUGAUUGGGCAGGUUGUCCAGUCACUAGACGCUCUUUGUCUGGAUGGCUUGUGUUUCUUGGACAAUCUCCUAUUUCUUGGAAGACAAAGAAGCAACACACAGUUUCCCGCUCGUCUGCAGAAGCGGAAUACCGAGCUAUGGCAGCAGUUACUUGUGAGCUCAAAUGGUUGAAGGGGUUGCUUCUGAGCUUGGGUGUGCACCACCCAAAGGCAAUCAAGCUCUUUUGUGAUAGUCAGUCAGCCCUUCAUAUGGCCAAAAAUCCAGUAUUUCAUGAACGCACCAAACACAUUGAGGUUGAUUGUCACUUUGUUCGGGAUGCGAUAACAGAUGGUUUGAUUGCUCCGUCAUAUGUUCCUACUAUUACACAAUUGGCGGAUAUUUUUACAAAGGCUCUUGGAAAGAAACAAUUUGAUUAUCUUUUUGCCAAGUUGGGCAUUUUUGAACCUCAUGCUCCAACUUGAGGGAGGGUGUUGAGAUAUUAUGAUAUAUUAUAGGAAAGUAGAUAUUAUGAUAUAUGUUGAGAUAUUAUGAUAUAUUCUAGGAAAGUAGAUAUUAUGAUAUAUUCUAGGAAAGUAGUUGCUAUUGUUUAGGAUUGUUUCCUAAACUCACGGUUUUCCCUUAAUUAGGUUUGCUUGAUGUACUAUAUAUUUACUGGAUGAAUAUCAAUUAGGGUGAAGCUUUGACCCUUUAAUCACACUUUACAGAGUAUCAAAGGUAAAGGAAGAAUAUGUAACAUAAAAUUCUGGCAAAAAUUUAUUCUUGUGCCCUGGUUUUAAAACCAGACUUUUUAACUAUUUUAAGACAAGAAAAUGCUCAUAUCAUUGAAAUAAAACAAGGGAUUUUAUAUCCUAAACAAUUAUUUAAAUAUUUUCCUUCCUAGUAACUUCUAUGUAACGCCAAUAGGAUUUUUUACUAGAUUUAAUUUUAAAAUGGAAAAUGAUGAAACAUUAUUAAACCAGGCACUAUCUAGGAGCAUAUUAAUCAGAUUUUAAAACUAUAAAAGAAGUAAAAUUUAACGGAUUAGCAUUUCUCAAAGGUACGAGUCUCUGCUUUCUGAUUUUAAAUCGCAGAAGGUACAAAAACUCAACUUCUUAAGCAACAAAUUCAAAUUUAGCAAUAAAAACAAUAUAGGUCCCAAUAGUUCAUAGCUCUAAUUUUACAACAAAAACAUAUUAGUUAUGCCAAAAAAAACUUAUUUUAAUGUCGGAUUCUUUUAUUAUUAUUAUUAUGCUAAAGUAGUAGAACCACAAUAAGAGAAUAAUUUAUAAAUUUAUAUUAUAAUUAUUUUUGAAAAAUAUUAUAUUUUAAGAAAUAUAUUCAUAAAAAUUCUUUCAAUGAAAAUUUAAUAAAAAAAAAAAAUACAUGUCAUACUAAUAAAAGCCAUAUUAACAUCCUGUGGACCUCGUAUUUCGGCUCAUUGCGUUUCCCACUCGAUGGUGAGCUCGAUUUUUAUUUUUUAAAAAAAUUGAUUUUAUUGAUUCAAAAAUGCCUUGGAGUCGCCACUUAUUUUUGUUUUAUUUUUUAAAGGGUAAACAAAAUAAGAAAGAAAAACCCUAAGUGUGACUCCUUGUUUUGGAAAAGGUUGGUCUACGAAAAACCGGAUCGGGUUCGGGGGUCAGGUUACUUAUCGGGAAGGUACGGUAAAGACCGUAGCACCCCUCUAAGUCCCUAAAGUCGGGUCUCUACUAAUAAAAUGAAGCAAUUGGGACAAUUGAUGAGAAAAUCAAUGAAUACUCGAAUUGAUCAUGCACAUAUGAGUAUCAAAAUAUGCAUAGAGAAUAACCAAAAUGGAAGUGGAUGCAUACCUGAUCAGCAAACGGCAACGCGCUAUCACAAAAUGGGGUUAGUGCAUAGUAAUGAACAUAAAGUAUAUCACUCAUAUCACCCAACCAGAUAAAGAAGCACCAAUAUCAUGCAUGAUAUUAUUUCAAAUUCACUUUUAUUUUGAUGAAAAUUUAUUUGAUGUGGGGCCCCCACCAAAGCCCGAUUAUUUUUGCAUGAACCAAAUCCGUAAAUUCCAUUAUUCAGAAUUACAAAAUUUGAUUCUUUGCUUAUUUCAAAACAUUUUUAAAACAGGGGAGGUGUGAAAAUGGCUUGCCAGAAAGAAAGUGGCAACCAAUUUUUAUUAAAAAAAAGAUUUCUAGAACCUAAAACACUAAAGGAGAAUGAAGAUUUGAGUUAUUUAGAAACCGGAUUUUAUUUUGAAAGGCAUGGGCUGCAAGGAUGGGCCUGGGAAGGAUAUCCAUGCAAACUGGGAUUGCUUGUCAACCUAAAGUACCCCUGAGUCUAUCCUAUAAGGUGGAUGGGUGCAGUUGCCAUCUUCCUUGAAUGCACCCUCAUGUUAACUUCGCAACCCCCCUCAUCUGAUGUGAAGUUACCAUUGAUAUUCAACAACUUAAAUCCAGGUUCGUUUGCAGUUUCUGUAGUUUCAAAGUCACAAGCUUUUCAACUACUUCAGAAAUUUUCCUCUCAACAGUUCUUUUCGAGCGAAACAGAUGCAUGAUCUAACAAUCUGAUCGAACACAGGAAACCAUUGACAAUCAGAGGCUUGCAUAUAUUCAGCUCGAGAUGACUAUGUGAUCCACCAUCAGUUUCAGCAAAUGUGUCAAGUGCAGCCGGUGUUUCGGAAUUGUCUUCUGCUGUAAUGGAUGAUUAAUUUGCUUCUCUAGCGACUGCUCUAGCUAUCUUUAUAUCAAAUCUUCUUUUUGUGUUCGAUCCAUCCUCUGCAAUGGUGCCUCUUUAUACCAGCUAGUUUAUUAUAGGGCAGAAUGCAUGUGACACGGCUGACUCCGUAUCUUACUUGUAUAUAAUACCCACUAAACCUUCGCCCCGACGUUGUUUGAAAGGUUCAGAUAUUGCAACAUGCAUCCUUCUGACGUUGGGCUGGAACACAAGCUUUCGGUAUAGCACCAAAUAUAACCUCAUCAAAUUCAAGGAGCGCCUUCCAAUUCUUCCUUUCUUUCUUUUGUCUGCAUCCCGUACGUAAGAUCCUGCAGCUAGCUUCCUUGCAUAAACUCUUACAAAAUUAAGGGACCCCCACAAAGGAGUCAUUCAUAAUUUGGAAAGCUUGACCAGCAAAUGGUUCUUCAUCACUCGCAGCUCUUUCAACUGUCACCUCGGGGUUCUCAGGGUCAGUUCUUUUCAUUGCCGGUAGGUUCAAUGGUGAAGGCAAGUAAUUUAUAACUGCAUCAAGUAGUGGAUGAACUCUCUUAUUUUUAAACGCUGAGCCACACAAAAUUGGGACAAAGCUGGCUGAAAUGGUUCCCUUCCUGAUUAAUUUCUUGAUAGUUUCCUCAUCAGACUCAACUCCUUCCAGAUAGCCUUCCAUAGCUUCAUCAUCCAAUACCUCUUCUCUUCACCACUUUAGAGAGAGGAAUGAGAGCUUUAUUGCAAAUCGCAGCCGUUUUCAAUUUCAUUAAUCCAUAUGACGCCCGUUAGUUUGUGGACCUGCCCGUAUUCAAUGAUCCACUGCCUCCACCUCAAAUCAGUAUCUAAUCUCUUGCACUCAAGAGCAUCAUUAGCUGAACGUCUACCAACUCCAACAGGUACAUAAUGAAGUGAGGUUCCGACCCCAGACUGCGAGAAUCGUCCCCUAUAUCCUCAAGCCCUUCGAGCCCUACUCCGGUUCAUGUUCCUUUCUCGGAUAGCCAAAUUCAGUUGAGCUCAGAUGCAACCUCUGGGAAUGAUAAAAUCCUCUAUGAAUAGAUGAUCUCGAGCUGCCAGAAAAUAACUACAACUCAAUCCCAGGUGGCUUUGCUUUGCUGCUUGACAUAGGGUCAAACCCACCUCAACGAUUAGAUUGCCAUGAAUGUUGGAGAUAUGCCUCGCCUUUAAGAACUGGAUAGUGGCUAUGUUGAGCUCAGUUCUGCUCUCGAAAUCUGAGGGAAAUGUAGGGAGAGCCUGGGAGAUUUCACCAAGGAGAGACCACGCACAGUAGGUCUUCAAUCGCAUGUGAAUGAGAAGGAAUUGAGCCGAGAAUGAGGUGGUGGUUAUGGCCAUGCAUAUGAAAUGGGUAUGAAUGGGUUAGUGGGUACGAGGCAACUGAGUUGAAAGAAAGUUAGGAUGGAUGUGGUGGUGAGAACAAUGUGGAAAUCUAGAGAGAGAAAUAGGUUUUGAAGCUGUAGUCAAAUGAGUAUAUGCAGGGGAGAUAUGUGACGUGGGUAUGGCAGAUAAUGGAGAGAAGGUGUUUUAGUGGUAUGGUCAGAUGGGUAUGAACAAACGAAGUGGUGAUAGAAUGAAUAGGAAAGCAUGCAUGUGGUUAGUAUGGGACAUGGGUAUGAAAGGCAGAGUAGAGAGAGAAAAAGUGGUGAGGGAAUAAUGGGCAAGAAAUGGUGGGUUGGAUACAUGGUAUACGGGUUGGAUGGACAUGAGGUAUGGCAGCCACUAGGUUUAACAUCUCCAACUCCCCAUCUCUGGUUCAUGUCUGUCAAUUUCUUCGAGCUUUCCUUGCGUUUCCUCAUAGUGAUAGCCCUAUAGAUUUCACUCGUGUCGGCAUGUAGAGACUUAGGUCUGAGAUUUGCAUGCCCCACGAAGGUCAGUGCAGUAACCUAGGCGUCCUGAACCAUUAACGUUCAUGAGAUGUCCAUUAAUUCCGACGCUGUUUCCGGCCAUGAAAAACCAAAAUCAUAUUCGCGAAUCUGUUCAGCCACGGUUCUGGAGAGGAAAGUAAAUGCUCUUUGCUGGACAAGGAUGGAGUGCACAUUUUUACACAAAGCUCGCGACCAAGGUUUUCUGCGGUUGCUGCGCGUGCACUCUCUAGACGGUUAGCGCAGCUAUAAGCGUUGGACAUGGCGGCAUUUAUCAUAGUGCUUGAGUCCUUCUGAUCAUGCAAGCUUCCUUGACUAUUGAACCUGCUUCAUUUCUCGAAGUUUGGACUGGAGCAGAGGAACCGAGGGAAUGGUCCAGACAUUAGCAUGCAUCGCGGGCAAGCGAGAAACACCAACAGCAAGCAGAACAUAAAGAGCUCCAAAACUAUCAGCACAUAAUACCCAUAGAAUCAUCAUUUCUUCAGGAACUAUUUCAUCAAUAAGUUAGGAACAAGCAAUAUUCUGCCAGGCUCGAUUACUUCCAUAGAAUUUCCAAUUACAUCAUGACCCGUUAAUACCCGUAGUGAUGCAUGACACUGACUUAGAAUCUUGAAGAAGCCGAUAACCCAAAUCCGAUGCUCUAAAAUAAGGUCAUUCAUAAAGAAAGCACGCUGAACACCUCUUCUAUACUCAAAUAGGAUGCAAGACAAAACCAAAGUGGUGUCAUUGAGCCAACUGAGCCUCCUUUGAGCUGGAUCCACUUCCUCACAGCUCUUAUAUUGAUUAAGGCCCAGAAACAGAGCAGAGAAUGGAUGGAGUAUGAAACAUAAAAGAAGAUGAGUAGAAGUGAUUCUCAGAGGUUUCAUUUCAUGAAUCAUCCAUGAACCCUCUGAUUAGGUGAGAAAAUCCAUUUUAAAUACAACAUUGAGGCACAUUCAUAAUAGAAGCAGAGUAUACCAAAAUCAGCAAUGGCAACCGUGAAAGCAAGAUUUCAUCCCAACAAACUAAACAACAUUCAAAAUAUCAACAGCAACUAUGGAGGAGCAAUAAGAAUCAAAAACUAACAAUAAACCUUUUGCUUUCAUACCUGAGAGUGUCGAUGUUCUGUUUAGCUUCAAACGAUCCUCAAGCACUACUCCAAAAUACCUCUGUAAAACGAUCUCCCAACACCUCUUCUCCACUCUCUAAUCUCUUCCUCUAUCCUCUUCCCUCAGGCCAAAAUCUCUCCUGCUCACCCCCCCUCCUCUCUCUGUUUUUCUCACCUUCUCUCUACUCACCCCUGCUCCCUUCAGCUCUCUCACCUAAAAAAAUCUCUAACGGCCUGCUCAGAGAGCUCCUGCAGCUGUCAGCCUCCCCCGACACCCCCAUGCAGCUGGCAGUCCUCAAAAAUAUCUCAUAACUGCCUGAAGAAUCACUUUACAGGUGUCACCACCUGGUUUGCCUCUCAAAUCCACUACUUGAUCCUUCAGCAGCCUGUCAAGAGGCACCACGCGGCCUCCUAAAGCUGCUCCACCUGGCAAAAUUUGCUACAACAAUUACCUCUCUUAUUUAUUAUUUCAUUUAUUCAUAUAUAGUGAAUGGAUAAAAAAUAUCACUCUCAUAUUAUAUUUAUACUAAGUUUAAUUUUUAAUUUUUCUUGUCAUGUGGUUCUAGCUUGUAAUGAUUCCAGCACUUUACUUGAUUAAAUAAAUUUAAUUCUCUUAUAUAUAUAUAUUUCAUAAAAAAAAUUGUAUUUAAUGUUUUAUUCCAAUAUUUUCUUAAUUUUAUUUAUAACUAAUUUUUUUUAUACUUUUAUACUAAAUCUUCAUUAAUUAGAAUCCUUAUAUCAAUAAUAAUAUUUUUAGAUGAUUAGAAAGAAAUAUGAGAUUAAAAUUGAGGGGUUUUUUUGUUUUUUUUUUUGGUGAAGAAAUUGGGGAUUUUUGUUUGGUUAUCUUCAUAGCAUAGGAAAGAAAGAGAAAAUAAAUUUCUUUCGAAUAUUACAAUGGUUUUUAAGGGGUCUUGAGACCGAAAAUGUGCUUUUUAACGGCUCGAAAAUUUCUACAGUUUAGUUGUCAAUUUGGAGACACAUUUGUUGUUUUGUUGUGAGCAUGUUGUAAUAAAAUGUUAUGAGCUUACAGGGGUUUGUGUUGAUUUGCAAAUAUGUCUUGUCUCUAUUUUGUUUGGUAUAAAGUUUAAAUCUUUGAGAGGGAUAGUUUCUGUUCAAGAGAAAGAAGAGUGGUUGUCGGCAAGCAAAAUGCUACUCUGUUUGUGUAGUUCCCG